This 46017-nucleotide long non-coding RNA is filed under the name Ananas comosus (pineapple). RNAcentral's name for it is "long non-coding RNA (ACOM_LNC018720)". Lineage: Eukaryota; Viridiplantae; Streptophyta; Magnoliopsida; Poales; Bromeliaceae. The record is from RNAcentral.
UAAUUUUGUUAUAGAGAUCAUUUUUUACAUAGAGAUAACAUUUUCGUAUACUAGGUUGUGUUUAGUUCGGAUAUAAAUAAGAACUACUUAUUUUAAAGACAUUUACAAAUUCAGGUCUAAGCAAGAAUUAGACCAAUUUUACGAAAAAAAUUAGGUUGUUCUUUGAAAUAAGAUAAAUAGUGUUUGGAUUGUUAGAUUGGAAUAGGAGGGAUAAAAGUUAUAAUUUUAAAUUAAAAAUAUUUUAUCUAUUUAAUUAACAUCAAAAUAUUAAUUAAAAAUAAUUUAAUAAAUUAAUAAAUUUAUUAGCUAAGAUAAUAAAAAUAUAUUAAUUAAUUAAUUAAAUAAUAAAAAAAUAAUUUAACUUUUUAAUUAGUUAGUAAAUUAUUUUAGUUAGAUAACUAGUAAAAAAAAUUAAUUAGAUUAAUAAAAAUAUUAAUGAUUGACCAAUACAAAUAUUAGUUUAUGAAUAAACAUAUUAAAUUAUUGUAAUUAAUUAGCUAAUUAAUUAUAAGUAAUAAAUUAAUUAAUUACUUUCUUAUUUAAGAAAUACAUAAUAACUUAAAUAUAUUACUUAGAUUAAUUAAUGAUUUAAUAUCAUAAUUAAAAUUAAAUUUAGGCUUUGAUUAAUCUUGUUCCUAUUUGGGAAUAAGAUUGUUCCAGAAAAAAGAGUGGAACAACAGCUCUAAUCUUAUACUGAAUUAUACUAGUUUAUUCUAAAAAUCUGAGAACUAUUGUUUUCGGGUACAAAAAUUUAUGUUUGGAAAUAAAGGAGGGAAUAAAGACUUGUUCCUCAACUUGUUUUUGAGCCAAACGCUCUCCUAAUACCGAAUUUUUUUACACACUUAGCAUUCCGAGAGUUUGCGAUAAAAAAAAGGGUUAAUUUCAUAUAUAUUGCUGCAAACAUGAUGAAUGAUAAAUAUAUUCCUACAAAGUUCAACUUUCAUAUGCCGUCUCUAUAAAAGUUCUAAUAUUUUCAAAUAUGUCCCUUUUUGUUUGUUACAAUUUAUAUUUUAAUUUUGUCAUCAUAAAUAUAUCUCUUUAAAAGCCAUACUAAUAUAAUAUAAAGGAACAAAAAUAUCAAAAACUAUAUUGGGUUAAGUAUUUAACAUAUGGUUAACUAACUUUUCCUAACAGAUUCUAACGGCAGGAACAUAUUUGAAAAUAUCAUGACUUUUGCAGAGAAAAUAUAUAAAAGUUGAAUUUUGUAGGAAUAUAUUUACUAUUUACUAUAUUUGUCAGGACAUAUAUGAAAUUAACCCAAGAAAAGAAAGGGGGAGGAAAAAAAACAAAAAAUGAUCGUACCUGUGGAUAAAUUUUCGAAUACUUAGGUUUAGGUGGGCAAGCGCAGAAAAUCCCGACGCACUUGUCCGUAGAGUGUUAGUGUGUCAUGUCCUGGCGCAGGUGAUGCAAUUUUUUUUUCCUGCAAUAAAAGAAUGAGCCCAAAAGUGUUAGUCGGCGCCGUAGGAGUGACCUCUACGGACCAGAUGUCGAACCCUGGUGGAAUUGCCGCAGUAGGACGGAGAAGAUAACGGUAGUGGUCGGCUGAAACGGUCACCGCCAUCUCUUGUCUCCGGACUUUUUACUCGCGCUUAUGUAUGUCUCCAAUUUUACUUUUCAUUUUUAUAAUACAAUAAUAAUCAUAAUCUAACUUCUUCUAGCAGCUAUUGUUAUACAAUUAUUACUUUUAAUUGGAUCUCCUGAGUCAAAAUACUGUGCGGAUUUGGACAGGAAUUGUCGUGUGCUGGGACAGCUAAGUUACAUCCAUUCCCCAGAGACGAAAAAAGCUAGUCAAUAAUCUACUGCCACAUAAUAAUAAUAUCUAUUAAUUAACUAUAUAUAUAUAUAUAUAUAUGAUGAUGAUGAUGCUCGUAAGUUAUUAUUAUGUGCAUGAAUUAGUCAACAGCUUCUUACAUCGAGCAAGGCAAUGAAUGAAUAACAAAGCAAGAUCUGAGGGAACUCGCAAGUUUUCUGAUGACAACGAAGGGCCACCUCCUUUCUUUCUCGGGGCUGCUAUGUUCAAUGUCGACGCAGUGAAUGUGAUGCCCCCCGUGGUUGCGUGGCUCCCAGUCCUCGUGUUUUAUUAUUUUGUAUUCAGCUCUACAAAGUCAUGAAUUUGCCUGCAGCAGGCUUUUUCUCCGAGCUUAUCCCCCUUCAAACUUUAAAAGCUUCGCUCCUCGGCGGUUGAGUGCUCGUGCGACCGGCUCGUGGAGGGGGUCGUCUUUUAGGCGAGCGAUGAUUGAAAAGGCGUUCGAUUUACGAGAUCAACGAUGGCGGUCACAUCCCCCCAAGAAAAAAGUUGUUGAAAACUUUUUUUUUUGAGAAAUAGGUAGCAAGCUACCUGCUUCAUUCAUUAAGUCUAAUGAACUGAGCAUAUAAGUUGGUGGCAGCUUAGGCCUCCGAGUAAGCGGAAAAAAAAAAGAAAAAAAAGAAAAAAAAAGAGGAGGUACGUGAGGGCGUCAGAGCAAUGUACUCCAAGAGUUGAUCAGAGCUUUGAGGCGAUCAAGAGACCCAGAAACCAUGGGCGACUUUUCAUUGAAAAUAGAGUUGUUUCUAUCUGUCCAGAUUACCCACCAAGUCGCAGCCAGAAGGACCAAGCGUUGGUUUCGCAACGUGGCGACAGGAAUUUCAGUACCUUUGGUCCAUAGAGCUUUAGCAUCACCAGUGUUGUCUACGUUUGCGUCCGGUAGUCCUCCCAUACUGAGAAGAAGAUACCGAACGUAAACACAGUCGUUGAAAAGGUGGUCGCAGCUUUCCGUAUGAACUGCGCAGAAAGCACAGUUCUGGUCUACGUGCAUGCCUCGGGCGAGCAGUCUGUCGGAGGUGGGUAGUCUAUUUCUAAGGAGUAGCCAAAUGAAAAUUUUAAUUUUAACUGGGAUUUUGAGCUUCCAGAUGUGCUGAUUCGUCAGGACACGAAGUCCAGAAUCCGUGAUGAACUGGUAAAGGGAUUUAACUGUGAAUAGUUGGUUGGAGGUCCAUCGCCAUUUCACCAAGUUGUUGAAAACUACAACUACUACAUCAACCUGUAAGAUCAAGUAACUUCAAGUGUGCUGUGUGCGCGCGCGCACAUAUAUGCAUAUAGUUCUGCAACUUAUUGUUGGGUGCAGAGUUCACGCAUAUAUGCAUAUAGUUCUGCAAUUUAUUGUUGCGUGCAGAGUUUGAUCGGCCCCAAAGAACUGCUUAGAAAACCCUCCGAGGCUCUGACUAUUGCAUCUUUCCAUCUUCACGAAAGUGAAACCAAGUAUUAAUCACAUUGCGAGUAAUAUUGAAUACCAAAGCUAUUGGUUAGUCAAAAUCGUUACUCUCUCCAUCAUCUGAGAGUAGCGGCAUUUAAACCACAGCCGCAUCUAUUACAUCGACAGCGCUCUUCUAACAUUCGAAAGAUUUGAAUCUUGAACAAUUUAGUAAAGCACUCAAGAGAGCAAGCAAAAGAAACCACUCUCAGUAAAAUCACCCAAAGCUAUACUAGAUAUGAAAAGUUACAAAACCAAAUAAUAGAGACAAAUGACAUGACUAACCAAGAGUGCUUAAUUGUGACUGCAACAACGUGUCAAAGUUGAGAUAAUUUAUCUGCAAUCAUGUCGCCCACCAUAACAACAAGACCAUCCAAGAAAUUCAAGUAUAAAGCAUCAUUACUGUAUAUGUGUCAUCAGUAAUAACACUGCAGCAUACAAGUUACAGCAGCAACCAAAACUGAAAAUUUGUAAGCAUAGAAUCUUAUUAAUGGACUGGCCUUUUGUAAACCUAAAAAUAACAAAAGAGCAUGAAAUUGAAAUAACAAGAGCACACAAAAUUUCAGCAACCUGAGCUCUCCUUUAACUGCUGCUCUUUACAGCUAUUGCUGACACAUGACUAGAAAAGUGUUUCUUUUACGCUCUGACACCCUCAUUCAUCAGUCCCCCAAUUUCAAGUUUGAAGAAAUAUGAUAAUUCCCGCAUCUCCUGAUGGUAACCAAUUAGCGGAGAACGUUUCUGUGGCUACAAAUAAUAUUUUCUGAUAUCACAUCACUGUACACUGCUUUACAGUUGGGAAAGAUUGGUCUACGUCAAUGCAAGCUCCUCCAAUUGAUUAGAAAGCUCAACUUCUGGGUCGGGGUUGAGGAUUUGCUUAAUCUCAUCAGCAUUUAGUGUCUCGUACUCAAGUAGCGCAUUCGCUAACGCAUGCAACGCCCUUUCAUGCUGAAAAUAAAGAGUUAGAAUUUAAUGAGAAAAGACAAUUAGAAAAACAAAAAUUAGGAACUUUCGAGAAAAAUUAGCUGAUGCAGAAUGGCACAACCCCUAAAAACAGACCUUUCAAAUUAUCACAAUGAUGCAACCUUUCAGAUCUCACUACCUUCAAACUUUCAAACAAAUAAAUGAUCACAAACAACCUUCAAGCCAAGGAUGAAAUCUUGAUCUUUCUUUCUUUCUUUCUUUCUUUUUUUCCUUUUUCUUUUUAGUAAUCUAAUGAAUGCUUAUGCUAAUCAUCAUACCAUCUAUCCACAACUAGGAAGUAAAGCAUGCACUAGUCUGCAGUCAUCCAAUAUUCCCCUGCAUAAACAGUUGUUUAGACUAAUCUGUUUUUACAACACCUGUAAAGAUUACUAGCAAUUGUAUUCAGUAAUCUGUUUUUACUCCGUGUAAAGAUAAGCUAGCAAUUGUAUUCUUGCUCCCUAUUUCUUCUUUGUAUGAUGCAGGAAGGAGUAGCUUCAUUCAUUCUAGAAGUUUGCUGAUGGCAAUAAAUAACGGAACAACCAUUAUCUCAAUACUUUGAUCAGUAUGGCUAAAAGGAAAUUGAAAAUGUACAUAGAUGGAGAACUGAUGAUACAAAGGCCCAUGGACAGUUAAAACGACACAUUUCAGAGACAAACCUUCUUAAGCAAUCGUUUGACUCGAUCAUAUGCUUCUCUCAGAAGUUUGACUACCUGCAUGAAGAGAAAGCUUUUAGUCAAUUAAGGUUCUGUAGAACAAUACCAAGAUGCAACAGAUUAUCAAAAUAGCAUACCUCAAAUAAAUCAGAUGGCAAUUAAGAUUGUAAAGUAUCAGAAAAUAUGUUGAAACAGCGACUGACGCUUCCUUAAUAGUAAAUUAUAAGAUUGGCACUAAAUCUAAAAAAUAUUGAGGCUGAUAAUAUGCAAAAGGCACAGACACAAAUUUCAGGCGGUGACUCAAAACUCAGUCUGGUUAUAACAUGGGAGUACUGAUCAAUAAUACCAGCUACAGCCAUGCAAGACAAUAUAUAAUGAACAGUAGAUAUUAUAAUCUAGAUAUUUAAAAAAGAUAUGUAAGAUAAGGUUCGUAAAACAUGCCUCUGCAUCUAUCCGUGAUUGCAUCUCUGAACCUGGUCUCUCUUUAACAUGAACAGGGCCAAUUGCAUCACUCAUCCCACAAGUUGACACCUAAGAAAUGUAUAAUAGGUUCAAACGUUUAAUAUUGACUAAAAAAGAAAAUAAAAAAAGGAGGUUUUCUGGACAUAAUAUUGUACCAUAUAAUGAGCGAGUUCUGUCGCUGUAUGGAGAUCAUUACUUGCACCAGUCGUAACAUAAUCUUCACCAAAGAUAAGCUCUUCAGCAACUCUCCCUCCCAUGCAGACAUCGAGGCGUGCUAAUAGCUGUUUCUUGCUAACAGACGUUUCAUCUUGAGAAGGAAGCUGUGUGACCAUCCCAAGGGCAGAACCACGUGGCAUUAUAGUUGCUUUAUGGAUAGGAUGAGCACCAUCGGUAUUAAGAGCAACAAUGGCAUGGCCACUCUCAUGGUAAGCAGUAAGCUAGAAAGAAGAUAUAAUACCAUUGUUAAUACCAUUGUAACAUUCCAUGGUUCUCUUAUAGUCAGUCUGGCCUAGUUGGAAUUUCUGUAGAAGUGUUGUUUAAAUAAAUCUGUUUAAAGAAGCACUAAUAGCAUUCUUUGGAAUCUACUCAGUAGCUUCUUGCUGACAGAAGCAGAAGUUUCAUAUUUAAGGUUCUGCUUUUGGAGAUUGAUGGUGCAUUAUAGCAAAUUGCUGCAAGCAAAUGCUCCAGGUUUUUUAUUAGCCAAAUCUUGGAGCACAGCCAGGCACCGAAAACAGCUAAGCAUGGCCAGAAACUAAUUGUCUGAAGCGAAAAAAGGCAACAGCUCAAGUUCACAUGUGAAAAGAUUAUCAACACACCUUCCUUGAUUCUUCAGAUAUAUACAUAGUCUUUCUUUCUGUUCCCAUUAUUAUCCUGUCUUUUGCAAACUCCAACUGAGCAGCAGUUAACUUUUCAACGCCUUCAACUGCAGCCUUAAUGGCUGCGAUAUUAACCAAAUUUGCAAGAUCUAGCAAAUAGUGGAAAGAACACUUAGUGUGGCACUUUAGGAACUUCUGGGUGUUAAGAAAACUCAGAUUUCAAAUGCUGCCAAACAUGGUGCAAUUAAUAAUUACUAAUUAUGUCCAUAGAUAUGGUUUAGAAGUAAGAAAGCAGACCUGCACCGUUGAAACCAGGUGUACCACGAGCAAUUGCAUUGAUGUCUACAUCAUCAGCCAUUGGUUUGUCCUGCAAGUAGAGCUCCAGUAUCUCUUGUCUGCCACGAACAUCUGGAUUUGGGACAACAAUCUGCAAGAAAAUAAGAAAUCAGAAAUGAGGAGGGAAAAAACCAAAACACAUUUUUUGCACAUUUCAACUUCCUUGAAAACUAGUGCAACUAAUUAAUGCAUUUGUUCAGUAAUUUCCUCAUUAAUGAAGCUAAUGUUUUCAUCGACCUAACUGCAAAUGGAGCACCCAAACAAUAAGCAAAGCUCUUGAAGCACCCUGAUCUAAGCUUAUUCAUCGAAUAAAGUUAUAUCAAGUCUCUGAGCCGAUGUUUGAGUACAUUUAUUUCCUAUUUUCAGGUGCUUUUAAUGAAUAUGCCCAGAAUUUUUAGGAGAACUUAUACUCUUGACAAAAAAUCACAGAACAAAGAAUUCAUCCCUCAAACUAAGAGAGUAAAUAACUAACAGCACAAUUUUGCAGAGUCUGACUUGUUCCCAAUAAUACGGGACUCAACCUUUUUUUACAAUUGUUUUUUCAACAUAUUCCAACAAUUUAUUUGCAAAAACUUGUCCUGUAGCAAAGUUUGAAUAAUACUUACAUGCCUGUCAAAUCUACCAGGUCGUGUCAAUGCCGGAUCAAGAAUGUCUGGCAAAUUUGUUGCAGCCAUCACUAUUAUGCCCUGUAUAGAAAAUUAAUGCACUUAAGAAUUACAUAGUGGCUUGCCUCAGGGUACUACAAUUAUCAAUAUAAUAUACCUCAUUCUGCUCAAAUCCAUCCAUCUCAACGAGUAGUUGAUGCAAGGUUUUCUUUGUAUGCCCCUCCCAUUGCUUUCUAGUGGAACCGACAGCAUCUAUUUCAUCAAUGAAAAUGAUGCAAGGCGCCUAUGAUGAGCACAAAAAUAUAGAUAACAUUGAGAACAAAUAAUAUCUAUUGAGAACAAAUAAGACAAAUAAAAUGAUAUGAAUUUAAAUUGUAGCACAACAGGACGAUGAGCAGGAGAGUAUGUUUACCUUCUUCUUAGCAGCCUGAAAUAAGGACCUUACUCGCCGGGCACCGACGCCAACAAACCUAACAUAAAAGAUCAAGUUGGACUCUCUAGUUGUAAAAAAGGACAAUGUAUACUCUACAUUGAGAUAAUAAAAAAGACAUAAUUGCACAUGAGUGAAACCUCAUAAAUUCCCCAGUAAACAAAUAUUCUUUUUAUCUCCAUAAAAUUUCUAAUCAAGGGGAGAUUUAACUUAAAACCAAUUGAUUUGUUUGGCAAUUGAUUCCUAGCAAAUAGGCAAGAGCACACAGGAUGCUGGCUAAGCAGCAAAUCGAUGACAAUACUUGUUAAGACUUAAAGAGGGACCAAUCAACAUGCCAACUAUUUGCAAUUUGACAACAAACUGAUAAUAUAGAUUGCGCAAUCCAAAAUGGUAGCUUACAUUUCCUCGAAUUCUGAACCUGCUCGAUAGAAGAAAGGCACCCCAGCUUCUCCAGCAAUAGCCUGAAGCAACAAACUCAGCCCAUCAGAAAAGUGAGUUUCAGUUAUAAACAACGAGCAAUUCGCAUUGGCCUUAGAAAUUUAGAACAUGUAUAUCAACAUCAAAUGUUGGCAAUUUGGCAUCUGGUGGCUGCUACCCAGCAUGCAAGAAAUUCAAGAUUCCCUAGUAAUACCUAGAAUGUCUGUCAAAACUUAUCAAUUAGAAGUGUUUUAAUUCAUUAAAUCAUAUCCACAAAAAUGCAUGUACGUUAUCUGCAAUCAUUCAAUAUCAACAUGCAAUUAGAGCAGCGGAAGACUGAACAAAGACAUAGUCUUUUGACCUAAACAUUUCGAAACAAUUUACUUCAUCAACAGGCAACCAAAUAUCAAGUCGAUAUAUCAUAACAAAAAUUUAUUUACUAAAUUGGCGUAAGCACAUUAGGUUGCACAGUGAAAGUGUAUAUUACUGCUCAGGGAACCUUUUUCUCACGAAAGAACACUUGAUUUUCUAUUAUUUAAAUAAGUUUAAGGGUCAAACUAACUAAAAUACCUGUGCCUUAAAUAAUCAAAGAAGAGUGAAAUAUCAAAUUACAUGGUAGAUAAACUCGCCUUAGCAAGCAAAGUCUUCCCUGUUCCAGGUGCACCAGUCAAAAGAAUUCCCUACAAAGCCAUUAUUUGUCAAGUUCAUGAAGCAGUUCAAGAGAAAUUACAAACAAUAAUCAAAAUGAUAGCUCGAACUAAUUGAACUUUGGCAUACCUUCGGUAGCUUUCCCCCGAGGCGAGUAAACUUUGAUGGAUUUUUAAGAUACUCCACUACUUCUUCGAGUUCUUUCUUUGCAUCAUCACAGCCUUUAACAUCCUUAAAUGUUUUGACAUUCUAUAUACGGAAAGUCAUGUAGAGCAUCCUCCAUCAAUGAAAAGUUGGAACAACAAACCUUUUUUCAGAGUAAAGCAACAAGAUGCAAGUAACUAAAGCAAUAUGCUGAACAACAUGUCAACAAACUACUGUAUAUUGUUCAGCAUAUUGCUAUUAUUUAAGCAAAUGAAGCUUAAGCACAUGAACAAACUAUGAGUACGCAAGAAUGAAGAAAGUUGAACCUCAUAAAAAUAAAAACUAAAAGAAUAAACAGACAUAAUAGAGCCAUACUACCUUCUCUGGCAUAAUUUCUUUGUUCAACUCUUUUGGGGAAUACGUAGCACCAGAACCAACACCAGAGGUCCCUAUGCCACUCAAGCUGCCAACAUAUUUUUGGAGUGCAGCUGCCCCCAUUACCCUGGCAAUUACAAGGAGCCACUAGUGAACCAGACAGAAAAAUACAAGAUCACAUUUCAGUUGAAUUGACCAGUUUGAACCAUCAAAAGAAGCUAAGCAGCAGCAUCUGAUUUGUUAAUAGAACUUAAAAGUUGCAGUUGGUUUUCAUAUAGUUUGAAGAAUAGAAUAAUGCACAUCAUAGAAGCAGGAAAAUAUUUUUUUUUCAAAGUAUACAGUGAUAUAUUGAAGACUCGAGAUGCAAUAAUUCAGCAUACAAGAUCCACAACAUAAAUACAGUGGAAAGAAAGCAAAAAUAAUUUAGACCCGAGGUGAUAAAGAGCAAACUUCUAUUUAGAUACAAGAUGUUAAAAACGCUUGAUGUAACAAUAGCCAAAAUUAAAAACGCACCACAUCAGACCAACAACAACUGUGAACAGGAUUGUUGAGAGGAGCUCCUGAGCAAACCUUGUUGACCUACUUGAUGCUUUAGGAUCAACCUGAAGCGAAAAAACAUGAGAAAUAGAACAAGAAAAGACAGCAAAAAGCCUAAAGCACUUGAUUGAUACUACCUAUAUCUUAUAGCACUUUUCCCAUCACAAACAAUGUCCUAACAGAAUUUCUGCUAUAUACUUUAACUUACCAUAACCACAUGCAAAGGAUGCUUCUCUGAUAUUCCAGGGUUCAAGAAUAGUUCGUCCUCAUUCCCAGAUGCUCGUUGCUUCAACUCUUGCAACUACUGACAAAAAAUUUAAAUUUCUGGGAAAGUCAAAAGUUCGUAGCAGCAAUAAGAAACUCAUUAAAAAUGAAAAUUUGAUAGCAAUUUACAGUUUCAAACAACUCCAGUAAACAGGUAGAGAAAAAAAAAAAGAAAAAGAUAUCAAGAAAAUGUUGAAUUGGUCAGUGUUGGUAGUAAGAUUAUAAAACCCUAGAAAACUUUUGCACUUAACAUUCAACUAUUCAAGAUCAGCAAUGUAGCUUUCUAAAGGACGAUCAGCAAAUUAUAGUCUAAAAUUUGUUAAAGAUGCAUCUAUCAUUGUUUACUCAAUUUUCAACAAAUGCAAGACACUUUUCAAGAGGAACAAAAGAACAAAAGAAGCUAGAGAAAAAUGGUCUUAAGAGCAAAAGAAAUCAUGCAUAUAACAUAAUGAAAUAAAAUCAUCCAUAGCCCAGUCAAAAUUGAUAUAUAGCAUCAUUAGAAAAUAAUCAACUUUUAGAUUUAAUGAAAGCAACAAAUGCUUAAGACAAGAAAGUAAUUAUCCAUGAUUCGCAAUCUAAUAACAAGGUGAGAAUUAUGAGUACCAAAUUUGGGAGAGUAGAAGGUUUCCCUGACUGCUCGUCUGGUAGAUAUUCUGCUAUAGCAUUAGUCAUAACAAGAGCUCGUAGAUAUUCUGCAACUCCUUUGCUGUCCACUGCAUGGCUUCUUUGCUCAAAACGCCUAAUUACAGACUCAGGACUGCCAAAAAAGAAUUAGGUGCCGUUCAUUAGUGUACCUAAAAGUUAUCGCUUUUAGAAAAAGAAGAGCAGGCAGUAGUGGCACUAGUGAACAACCUCUAGCAUGGGAAAACAACUUUUUAAAUUCACAAUGUAUUCCAAAGAGAGUAGAUAUGAACAUAGAACUUGAAAAUUGAUUAAAAGAUUAUUGAUCAAAAAAUUGGCUCUCCUUCUUUCAUUUUUUUUUUUUUUUUCCUUUGAUGCAUUAGAUAGACAAGCAUUUUCAUUGAAUAAAGAAUCAAAUUUACAUCAAGUAGUACAAAGAGCAGGUUUUAUGAAAUGCAACAGGUAAUUAGAGUGUGCAGACUUUUUAAGUAUUGCUAGUAUAAUCAAAAGAUGAGCUCUCUACAGUACUAAUCCAGGUUCUUGUACUGGUUAUCUCUUAUAUGAUCUUUUAACAAGUUCCUUCCUUUUCCAAUCGAUCUUCUACAAUUUUGCAAGUCUUAACAAGAUUAGUGAUGUCCUAUAAGCAAGGUGCUAAAGAAGGCCCCUGUACUCUCUAGUCUCUGCUAUCUGAUUUUAUCAUUUUAGUAGUUGAUCCAUCUCUGUUCUGCUUGGACUCUCGUUUUUCCCUAACUCGAAGGAUCGUCUACCGCCGUAGAUUCAUAAAUAUCCAACUUUGCAUCAAGUUCAAUUUGCUUCCACUUAAAAAGAUCAAAACUUUCAAGGACUGCGGCAUCCGGCAAAUAGAACUAACGAGGAACAGAGAAAGGAAAGAUGAAAAUAAACAGAAAUUUGACCAGCUAAAGGGAGAGAACCUAGAAACCAAACCUGUGUUUAUUGAGCUCCGAGAGAAGAGCGCUCUGCUUCGCGGCGUCUCUAGGGUUUGCAUCGGCCUCCGCAAUUAGCCGCUCCAACCUCUUCUCCUGCCUCCAGAACGGCCACCAGCUUAACCACUCCGACAUCGCCAAUGUAUCGAGCCCCUUCCUCGCCGAAGCAAGCACCCCGACCAAAAACGCCACUACGGGCAACCUACUCUCCGCCCCCUUCCUCUCCCCCGCCGCACCAUCCGAUUCCGCCACGGAAAACACCGCCCCAUCCCCAACCCACCCACCCUCCGCCGCAUCCUCCGCGGCCCCCGCCGCGCCAUCUCCGCGGGAAAGGUCGGAGCUUCCGACGUCGCGGUACUCCACGAGCGGGUCCUCGCCGGGCGAGGCGGGCUCCCGGCCCGAAUCCGCGGCCUCGGGGGGCAAUGCGCGGACGCGGAGGCAGUGGCGGUGGCGGUGGCUGGGGCGGGACCUCGGGAGGGCAUCAACGGAGACGAAGGCCGAGGCGGCGCGCUUCGGGCGGCGGAGGAGCCGGACACACGGCGGCGACGGCCGGAAGAGGAGGAGGGAACCUUGCAGCGCCGACAUGGUUGCUGCGGCGGCGGCGGCGGCGGCGGCGAUCGAGUUCCUCGUAGCUCUCUCCGUCUCCGCCUCGCUCUCUCCGGAGAAGGGUGUGGGGGCGAAGAGGAGGAGAGAGCGAGGGUUUUGAGGUUAAUAGCCACACGCGAUGGGGGGGGCCUUAUCUCGAGCCUUUGGGUGUUUUUAGUUUUAAGUACGAAUGGUUUGACUCGUAAAUUAAGGGAGAAGAAAAACGAAGGGACGGGGAGAUGGAGAGAGGUUGUGGCGGCUUUUUAUUAAUUAAUUAAAUUAGUGUGUUAGCCUCGGGCGCAAGAAAAGUUGCAUAGAUACUUUGAUUGCUGUGGCUGCAAUUCGAUAACUUGUCCUCUCUCCUUCGGAUCCCUUUUUCGGGUUUGAGUAGUCUUAUGCACAAAUGUAGUAGUUUUGAAUCCCAAAAUAUGAUUUUUCUUUUCUUUUCUUUUCUUUUUUCUUUGUGCAAUGCAAUUUUAAGUUAGGCCUUAAUUCUCUUUUAUUAACUAAAAUAUGUUUUAAAAAAAGUGCUGGAGAUCUUAUCUCAUCCCUUAACCGCUUCAAACUAAAAAAAUCUGAAUACAAACAAAUCGUGCUUAUUAUGAGCUAUACCAUAUUUGUAACUUGCUCUCUGGAGCAAAUAAUGUGAUAUAGUUAAUAGUUAAUUAGGUCGAGUCAAACAGCGAUCAUCUUUGGAUUUGAAAGAACCCAACCCAACCAUUAUUACACUAAUUAAGAUUAUAUUGGGUCCAACGUAAUCUGUUAAUCAAAUUGUGUUUGGUCGGCUCAUAUGAUCAUAUCAAACUCAACAACAUUCAGACUAUUGCUGAUAGUACAGUUAGUACAUCAGAAAAUGGGAAAAAAAAAAUUACAUCGUGUCUAUCCAUCCAGCAUCAGUAAUUUUACACUAAUCUUCUUAUAAUGUUUUUUUUUAAUAUUCUAAACUUGAAAGAAAUGUUGAGCCAUCAACUGAACCGUCGUAAGAUUUACAUUCUACUUUUAAUUUAAGCGAAGGAGCUAUCUUAUUAUCCAAGAGGCAGGUUACAGAUCAACUUAGACAAAAUGUUCCCCUCUGCAAUUAAAACUCAAAUGUAAGAUACGGAAAUCGCCACAAUUCCAAAGCACCAAGAACUCAGCUGCAGCCUACAUAUCAUGUCCUUCGUUUCUUGCCAGCGACGGGGAACCGCGUCCUAAUGAACCGAAACCGCUCUCGCCUCCUCGCCCGGCCGGCGCCUUCUGCUCUCCUCCCAGUUCAGCGGGACUCGACCUUCCCUGUCUCGACUGAGCCUCUCCUGCGCCCCGCCACGGAGCUUCUCCAGCCUGAGUCCAUCUGCUUGCUGCAUCUCAAACACUUUCAGUACAUUGCAUAGUCCUCCGACGAAGAACAGCAGGCUCCCAAACAGACACAACCAUGCCCAGCUCUUUGCCUGCACGUAGUCGGUUAGCAACCGUAUGACUCAGUUUCUAAAACAACUUCAGUAAUAUCAAAUAAAGUAUAUGAAGAUCAUACAUUAAAGUUAACUUUUAAAGCUUGUUUCUGCAGAAACCCUGGUGGCAAGUAACAAGGUUCUGACUGCUUGAAUAGCUGUGGAAGCUUACCAUGAUCUCGGACUCUGGAUGAGGCGAACCGGAGACGUAGUGCCGAUUGAAGAAGCCGCCAACCAAGAAGAGCAAGCUACCCAUGAGGAAUGGGAGGUUUACGCUUGAUUGCAGGAUCUGGGUGCGGCCGUCGGCUCUCUCGUAAACCUGGCACGCGUUGAGGAUCGAACCCACGAGCCACAACAGCGGCCCGGCAAUCAGUGCAUUCAAUGCGUGCUUCUCCAGCCUAUAACUGUAUCCUCUGUUUUCCUGCAGGAUUAUUUUCAUAAUAAUAUAAACUAUGAUUUGAUUAGAUUAAAGCACAUCCGGGCCCAAAUUAAGCGUUUUAGGGCAUAACUAUGUAUCUUGGUCUCAAACACCAUUCAAAUCGUUUAUGUUUAGUUAAGACUAUUGCUAAAUUGUCUCCUAACACAGAGAAUUAUGUUGAACAAGGCGACAAGGAUUUAUCAGGGCAAUUGGAUUAUGGAAUUCAGAUUUUGCUGAAGAAGUGAUUAUUGGAUAUGAAAAUUCUCGUCAUAGUUCAUCAAGAUCAUUCCGCAACACGCUAAUCAACCAUUAUGCCUCGUUUAUUUAUUUAUUUGGUAAAAACAUAUCGAACUUAUGUAAAUUAUAAACCAUUUUUAAUUGACUAUGUAAUUUUUUUUUAUAUAUUUUUCCACUCAAUUUUUUUAAUUUGUUUAAUUUGAAUCAGUCAACGGCACCUUACCUUUAAAAUUAAUUAUUUUUUCAGAUUUAGUUACGAUACAUUAUACAAUUCUCACCUUUAUAAAUUUAUUAAAAUAAGUAAUUAGCUAAAAUUUUAAAUCAACGUAAUGUGUACCAACUCAAAUCAAAUAAAAAUUUAAACAAAUUAAAAAAAAUAAAUAAUAAAUUAAAAUUUUGAAAGAUUGGAUAAUUAUUCAAAAAUGGUGAACAAUAAGUUCCGUGAGUUUUUUUUUUUUUUCUUUUUUUCUUAAAUCCGAAGCUCGGGCUUACACUGAAAUGUGUGUGGAGAGUUUUGAGUAUUUGAGCGCCGGACCAAAAUUAAUGCACGCACCUGACUCAGUAGUAACAGCACUCCGACGAAGCUAAGGACCGAUCCCAAGAAGCACACCGCCGGCACUGCAAACUCGACGAGCCCCAGCUGCAGGUCGAAGCGCACGAGCCCGACGCGGCAGUCGAUCCCGGCAGCGUGCGCGGCGAGGUCGUGCGCGCUCGCCGCCGCCGCGAUCGCCAGCGCCACGAGCGCCACCACCAGCCCGAACUCGCUGCUUCUGCUUCGCGGGCCAGCAGCGGGGAGCUGCGCCGCGAAGCCGGCGAGAAGCAGCAGGGAGGCGAAGACGUAGACGCCCGCGUUUAUGUACUCCCAGCGGUUGCGCGCGCCGCGGGGCCCGUACGCGCGGCUCUCCCGCGCCGUCACGAGCUUCACCAUGUAUAUGUUUUUUUUACUAAUGAAUUACAAAUAGCUCAGUGGGACAGAGAAAAGAAUAGAGAAAAGAUUCAUAUUUCAUAAGAAUAUAUGUACAAAGCGGUGGUGCAGGUCAGGAAUGAGAGAAGCGUGAAGGGAUUGAGGGAAUGGACACGUGGGUUGUUGCAUGCAUGGGAUCGCGUGAAGGGCACUUGCGUGACACGCAUGACUCUGGUGUAUCAUGUAUGGGUGGAAAUGUAGAAGAGGAUUUAUCCCUGUGUCUGUGUGCGUCGAAUUUUACUUUUAUUUUUACCAAUGUUAAUUAAUAUUUGCUAGUAGUUAUAUUUAUUUUUCUUAAAGAAAUUUAAUUGCAUAUGUGUCCUUACAAGGCAAUCUAAUUGCAUUAUUUGUUCCUCAAAAUUCUUCUAAUGUUGCAUAGUUUUUAAAUAUAUUUAUCUCUAAUUAAUUUUUUUUCCUACAAAAUAAUUAUUAUAUUUUUAAUUUCUUUAAUACCAAAAAUUUAAAAUAAACCGUCUAAACUUUUGCUAAAGAGAGAAAAGCACUGUUCAAAAUCAUUUUAUUAAAUAGUGCUACAUUGUUUUAGUAAUAUUUUAGUAUAAAAAUCUCUCUUUAAUAUUAUAAUAAUUCGGAUCCGGGUUCAUCCGACCCGACCCAUACUGUAGUCAACACCAACACACCGAACUCGAAUCAGCGUCUACGGCUUUCACCUCGAUCGGCGCUCCCCCGUCCUUCGAGCCAGUAUCCAAAUGCCGACGCGGCGGCGCGACCGCCGCAACCCGCCCGGUCCAUCCGAACCGGCCAGCCCGAACCGGCCGGCUCAGACCCCACCCCCCGCCGCAUCAAAACCGCGCCUCCUCCUCGUCUUCUUCUUCUUCCUCCUCCUCCUGCUCCUGGUCUUCGUAUCGCUGCUCGCCGUGCACCGCUCCAAUCGCGGCUCGCCGAACGCCGGUGCACCCGCACUUUCGGUCUACGAGAGGGGCCUCGUCAAAGCCGAUGUUGCGUUCCGAGAAAUCCUCGCCGUACGUUCCAUCCUUCUCUAUUCUCUUUCUCUUCCUCACUGUGAUCGAUACAUAUCUCCUUUAGAAUUCGCGACAUGUGCUUAAUUUAUACAGGAGAAUGCUAGGGUUUCGGAGAACCGAUCUCGCCGCCACUUCCCGAAUCCCGUCUUGGCCUACGUUACUCCCUGGUGUGUUCUUCGUAUCGCGAUUUUUUGAGUAUUUUUGUGUAAUUAUUCUAUGUAUUUUCCCCAAUUUUACAAUUCCUAGCAACGGGAUUAGAUAGAGGUUAAGUUUCUCGCUUUUUAGAGAAUCUAAAAUGGGCUUCAUUUUGGAGCUUUUUGCUUCUAAUUGCAGCUUAAAGCUGUUUGUUUCACUGUAACGACUUUUAUAUGGUAGGUGACAGGAUUUGCUUUACUCAUGGUUAUUUAGAGGAUAAAUUAGUUGAAUUGUCUUGUGUAUUUUGAUAUUGUGUCAGAUUUGUUAGUUGCAUUUGAAUGUUCGGAGUAAGGAGGUAAAUGAUAAUCAUAUAUAUAUUCAUGAUGAUUAUGCAGUUAUCACCUGAGUUUCUUUUGCAAUCUCUCAAUUUAUUUUUUUUUAUUUUUUAUUUUUUUAUUUUUUUAUAUGGUUUGCUUGUAUUUGGUGUUAUUUCUGGAUGUAUUAAUGUAUAAAAAGUAUGUAAUGCAGGAAUUCCAAAGGCUAUGAAAUGGCGAAGCUAUUUACUUCAAAGUUCACGCAUCUGUCGCCUGUGUGGUAUGAUCUGAAAAGGUAUGAAGAACAUUUCUUAUUGAAUAACCAACUGUUGUUAUUUCGUCCUACUGUGUGUGUCGUGUAUUCUUUCAGUCUAAUAACCUGCUGCUGCUGCUUCUGCUGCUUCUGCUUAGCGAAGGGAAGAACCUAGUUCUCGAGGGACGACAUAAUGCUGACGUAGGAUGGAUAUCAGAACUUCGCAAGAACGGGAAUUCUCUGGUAUAUCAUUAUCAUCCAUUCCGAUUGUUACUGGAACUUGUUAAGUCGUUUCUUUGAAUACAUUAUUGUUAAUUUAAUGAUGUUUCGAGUGUCUUUAUGCAGUACGUAAGUACGUUGGCACUUAAUUUUGGAAAAACAACACGGAGAUAGUGAUUCUGUGAUUGAAUGCAUAUUUUUGCAAUCUGUUGAUAAAUAUAUCGUCUAGAAAUCAAUGACUGUUUGUUCUUGUAUUUGUAAUUUGAUGGUAGUAGUAAUAACCAAGCAAACUAGAUUUAUGUUGUGGCAAACUUAAUAUAUGUCUAGUAGGUGGUCCCUAGAGUUGUCCUAGAAGCAUUUCCUGUGGAGAUACUCUUGAAGAAGAAACGGUGGAGUAAGGCGAUCAAUUUAAUUGUAGAUGAAUGCAAGUAAGUCCUUUUUUUAAAUAAUUUUUUACCAAGUAUUGAUGUUACAUUUUAACUUAACAUCUUCUUGUGAAUUCAUAGGGAAAUGGGAUAUGAUGGUAUUGUGCUGGAAUCCUGGUCAAGGUGGGCAGUCUACGGUGUUCUGAACGACCCAGAGUUGCGGAAUUUGGUAUUUUCAUUAUUCACUAAUGUUUAAGUAGCUAGUUACGAUUUGAAAUGUUAAAUUUGCAUAGACUAUGGUAUGGUUAUCUGGUGGCUUUUUAUUUCCUUUAAUAUGAUGUAUCGAUAAAGAGUGGACAUUGUUAUGCCUGAAUAAGUUGAGUACUUCCAGCUGAUAUGCAGCUCAUUCUCUUAGCCGAUAAUAGUUGUAUGUUUCACAGACGUUGCAAGUAUCUAGAAACCCAUUGAUUUGGGAUCGUAUACAUCAAUUUGGAAUGCAUAGUAUCAUGUGUGCAUUUGAAUACACUUCUAAAUUCCAUUCACGUUAAAAUGUUUCUCUGCUGUUAACAUGCUAUAUUAUUAAGAUUCUUUCACAGCCUCACCAGUAGUAUGUUAAAGUUGUCGAAGUUUUGUUAUCUACUUGUCUAUUUAUCCAUUAAGUGUCAACUGCAAGUUACCAGCACUAUUCUUAUGUUUCAUAAAGAGAAUUUUGCUCGAUGUAACAUGCCUAAUUGCUUAGCAUCUUCAUUUUAUCACUUCUCCAACUUUAGGUAGAUAAUUUUAUCUCUCUUAUCUCAUUUAUAUAUGUAGAUGAAUAAGCUAGUAUAACUGCCUGUGCUCCGUAAUAUAUUUUUCUCAUCCUUUCAUCUUGCACAAAUCAUUAAACUAAUUUCCUCUUGUUCUGGUGAAACAUAGGGGCUACAAUUCAUUAAUCAGUUAGGGGAGGCUCUUCAUUCAGUCAACUCGAAGUCAAAUCUCAACCAUCAGUUAGAAUUGAUCUAUGUCAUCCCACCCUCACAUUCAGAGAAGCUCAGUUAUCAUGAUUUUGGUCCACAAGAUCUUCAGCAGCUAGGUACUGCUGUGGACGGCUUUUCUCUUAUGACCUAUGACUUCUCAGGGCCACAAAAUCCUGGUCCAAAUGCUCCUUUGAAGUGGAUACGCGCUUCUCUCGAAAUGCUUCUUGGUGGUGCUGACUCUGAACAUGCUCCCAAGAUAUUCCUUGGUAUCAACUUCUAUGGCAAUGACUUCGUUCUCUCUGGAGGUAAACGUUUGCUAUUUUGGCCUGAGAAUAGAUUUUGAAAAUGUAAUAGUUGUUCCUUCAGAGACGUGUUGCAGUGAGAAAAGGACAAUCACAUGACAUUCAACAAGAUUAAUUUUGACCAGAAAACCUUUUACUCUCUUUUUCCUUCUUUUCUAUGAAUUUUCCGCUCUAGAAACGUAAAAGACAAAUCCCAGGCACGGAAAUUUCCUUAAUAGAGUGGCACAAAAAUUUGGAUUGAUCGAUUUACUACUGUUAAUCUUUUAUCCGGCAUGUUUGACUUGAAUGCAAGUAAAUAAUGCAUUCUACAUUAGAUGAUUUGACUAUUGUUGGUUCCUUCACUAUUCUGUGGCACGCAAUACUGCUUGUAUCUAUAAUUACUCAUUUCGUGACCGACUGUCACAACGAUAAAAACUUGGAAGCCUAUUCAGAGCAUGUUUAAUUGAUGUUCCUACAGGGAAGAAAUCAAUCGCCUUAUAAAUACAUGAAAAGAAAACCUUUACUUGCUUCAGUGAAUUUAUCAUUAUGAAUCUCUGAAUGGUUUCAGGUGGAGGAGCUAUCACUGGGAGGGACUACAUCUCCUUGCUGGAGAAGCACAAACCAAAGCUGCAGUGGGAGGAGAAAAGUUCAGAGCACUUCUUCGUAUACUCACUUAACAAUGUGAAGCAUGCCGUGUUUUAUCCAUCAUUGAUGUCUAUUUCCUUGCGGUUGGACGAAGCGCGAGCGUGGGGGGCAGGUCUCUCGAUUUGGGAAAUCGGGCAGGGCUUGGAUUACUUCUUUGAUCUUCUCUAAGUUUCUCACCUUUCCAUUAGGGCGUUUUGUUCGCAGAAACUGUAACUUAAUCAUGAGUCUCAUUUUGUUUUGACUGUUGAUAUGUCUUCUAUUUAUUACCAAAUAGUCCUAAUUAAGUUGUGUAAAUUGUGCAGCAAAUAGCUUUUCAAAAUUUGUAUUUACUCUUGGCUAUUAGGUUGGAUUUUUUUCUUCUUUCUGCGAAAGACACCUUAAUACUCAGCUAUUUGCUACUUACUAGCCCAUAAUGAUUCAUGGUGGUCUCCUAUUUUGGAGUGUUUGAUUGUAGGUUCUUUAGUAUCAUGAAUGGAAAUUUGAGAAUAUGUACUUGCCAAUCCUGUUCUUCUUAUUUCCUUUUCUUUUAGAUUGUCUCUGUGGACCACACUAACGCAUCCUAUUUCUGAUGAUGAAGUGGGAUACAAAACGGAAACCUCGUGCCCGAUAUAUAUAGCAUGCUUAUCAAUUUCUCUAAACAGUAGAGGUUGUGACUUAUUUACUUGAUUUGUCAUAAAAUGUAUUAAUGGAUUUGUCAAUAAUUUAUACAUUUAUUUAUAUUUUCGACUGUAAAGCAUAUGCUUUUUUUUUUCCGUCGCUUCAAUUUAAUAUAUUAUUAUAUUAAAUUUGAUUGUAAUUGUUCUUUAUCUGUAUUGAGAGCCUAAAUACAUCAUUUAAGGGCCCGUAUACCUUUUAAUCUGCGCAAAAUAUGUAAAUGUUUUCUGAAUAGGAAAUUUUUUUUUUUUUUACAAGAGCAAUACUACAUAUAGAAUCUAAAGCGAGAUGUACAUCUUUCAUCCAUUUUUAUCCAAAACUGUUAAUACUUUACUUAUCAUAUUAAUUUUUUAAAAUUUUUGCUAAAAAUUACUUGCUAGGAUGGAGGAAGUAUAGAAAGUAUUUUCUUUUUUUUUACAAAAAAUACUAGGUCGAUUUCCAAAACACGUCCCUUCAUUUCAAAUUACACUAAUGCGCACAAUCUCGCUUAGUGGAGGGUACAUACGCAAAUAAUAUUUCUCGGGGCACUAAUAUGCAAAAUCCUCUGAAAAUAUCCACAGGGGUUUUUGUUUCCCCAAACCCUCCAUUCCUCGUGCCGAGAACACAAAAGGGUGCUCAACCCCAAUCUCCUCUUCUUCAAAGUUCAAACACCUUCACUUCACUUCAUGGUAUGCUCCUCUCCCCUUCUCUAAUCAAAUUUAUAUAUAUUUUUUUCCCCUUUUAAUCAACUAAAAUUUUUUCUUAAUACCACCAAUUUUUUCCUCCAAUUAAACCAUUUUUAUGGAUCCAAAACUCCUCUCUCUCCCAAGAACACCAUCUCCAACCCCUUUCCCCCUUUUCCUCUCUUACCCAAAUUCCUCUUCCAUCAAUCUCCACAACCCAACCUUAUCCUCAAAAACCCAUCUUUCACUUUCCCUUACAGCCCCCAAAAAGUCAUCUUUUUGGGGAAAAACCCUUCCUUUCCAUGGGAAGAAGCCACUGCUCCUCCUGCAGAAGAAGAAAACGCAUUUGCCCUUACACCCAGUAUCAGCUGUUGUGAAGAGGAGAAAGGAGGCCCCUUUUGAUAAUGUCAUACAAAGGGAUAAGAAACUGAAGCUGGUGUUGAAGAUUAGGAACAUACUUGUGAACCAACCUGAUAGGAUUAUGAGUUUGAGGGAGUUGGGAAGGUAUAGAAGAGACCUCGGGCUCACGCGGAAGCGCCGAUUCAUCGCUUUACUGAAGCGGUUUCCGGCCGUUUUCGAUAUAGUGGAGGAGGGCGUCUACUCGCUGAAGUUUAGGCUUACGCCCGAGGCGGAGCGGAUUUAUCUCGAGGAAUUGCGGGCGAAGAAUGAGAUGGAACAGUUGCUGGUCGUGAAGCUGAGGAAGUUGCUGAUGAUGUCCUUGGAUAAGCGAAUUCUCAUCGAAAAGAUUGCCCAUUUGAAGACGGAUCUCGGUCUCCCUCCCGAGUUUAGGAACACUAUAUGCGAAAGAUACCCUCAAUACUUCAAGGUGGUUUCGACCGAUCGUGGCCCGGCGUUGGAGUUAACUCACUGGGAUCCUGAGCUAGCAAUCUCGGCUGCUGAGGUGGCGGCGGAGGAGAAUAGGAUUAGAGAGAUUGAGGAGAGAGAUUUGAUCAUAGAUAGGCCUCCUAGAUUCAAUAGAGUGAAGCUUCCUAGAGGUCUAAAUGUCUCCAAGGGAGAAAUGAGGAGGAUUUUGCAAUUCAAGGAAAUGCCGUACAUAUCCCCGUACUCGGACUUCUCCGAGUUGAGGUCAGGUACCCCUCAGAAGGAAAAACAUGCUUGCGGGGUCGUUCACGAGAUACUUAGCCUUACUCUUGAGAAGAAGACGCUUGUUGAUCACCUCACGCAUUUUAGGGAAGAGUUUCGGUUCUCGCAGCAGGUGCGAGGAAUGCUGAUUAGGCACCCUGACAUGUUCUACGUGUCUUUGAAAGGCGACAGGGAUUCGGUGUUUCUACGCGAGGCUUACAAGGACUCUCAGCUCAUUGAGAAGGAUAAGUUGUUGCUGUUGAAGGAGAAGCUGCGUGCGCUUGUCGCUGUCCCGCGAUUUCGCGGAAGGGGGGCGGGAAAGAGUGAUGAAAAGGAUAAAGACGGCGAGGCACUGGAAGGACGAGAUGGUGAAGAAGAUGAAGAAGAUGAUGGCGAGCAUGAUGAUGAUGAGGAAUGGUCAGAUAUCGAUGAUUCGUUGCUGAAUGUCUUGGGAAGCGAAUUAGAGAAUGUUGAUGAGGAUUAUGAUGAAGGAGGUGAUUGGAGCGAUGAUGAUGAAAAGGAAGAAUCUCCACCACAUUUUCAUGAUGGUGAGAGCAUAAGUUUUCAAGAAAGCAAACCGCAUAGGAGUAGUGUCUCGAAACCUACUGAUGACAAAGUGCUUGUUCCCAUGUUUCCGGACGGUAGGCUGAGGGACAGGUGGUGAAAAAUUUAGUUGUGUUGACUGAUCGAAGCCUUUGCUGCAGAGUAGAAAAGGGACAAUGCUGAGUUUGUUCUUUCGCAUAAUGCUUCAAUCGUAGGUGCAUGCAAGACUAAACUGUCGCUGAAAUAUUGAAACGAGACAAGAAAUUGAACAAAUUGAGAACUUUUGACAUGUCAGGAACCUGUAUCUUUGCUUGUGGGUAGGAGUUGUAUUCUUUUCACAGUGCAAACAAAUUAUGGACUUUUUUUGUUGUCUUUUACAUAUACUAUUGUGGUUCUUCCUUUUAAGGGCUUUUAUGUAGCUUUUUUCUCUUGCAUAACUUUUCAGAUAUUUAGACAGUACUGCCAUGUUUGAUAUUCUAUAUUCUCACCUCAUAUUGCUUUAGGGUAUGUUAAGCUUUGUGUUCAUUAAUUUUUUGUUUUUCACACCGCAGAUGGUAUUUUGUUUUGUGGAUCAGAUACUAUACUGUGCUUGAGAAAAUAGGUGAUCAAUCCUUAAUUCUCUUUCUGCGUGAACCUUAGAAAAUGAGUUAACUUCAUCAAUCAUCUGAUAGUUUCUUUACAAAGAUAACUACACUCAAUAAUGUCAAAAAAGGUUUUCUUCAUUUUAUGAAUCAUGUUAGAUGAAGGAUUUCUUUUUAAAAAAAAGUGCUUUAUCUCCUGCUGUUUGAUCCACUGUGGGCCGAAUUUCAUUCUUACUGCAUCAAAUUCCAGUGAAUUUUUCUUUAGGUAUGAAUGCUGCAAACUAACAUUUCAGAUGACACCAUAUGUAGACAAUAUGAACAUAGUUCAAGCUCGUAUAUGAACUGAAUACUUAUUAAAUGCCGAUGAAUAUUUUCUAAUUCACAGAUUCAUCAGCUUUAUAAACUAUAGUACAAACAAAGUUACACAUGAGGUCUACAAAUUUACUCAAUUUCAGAGUAAAAUUUGCAUGUGAUCAUUUGCGACUAUGAUAUCCUGUAAAAUGAUAUACAGAACAAAAAGCUACAAUAAUUGGAAAUUAAAGAGAGGCACAAAUACAAUGUGUCUAAAAAUCAAACAUAUCUACGGAGGUAGUCGACCCGAACGGGAUGUUUGAGCUUCAUAAGUGCUUUUAGUUCAUGCUUACGGACCAUCUCUCUCGAAAUAUUGAGGUUCCCUGCAAUCUCUCCCAAAGUUCUGUUGCCUUUGCCGUCGAGUCCAUAUCUUUGUCUUAUAACCAGACUUUCUUUAGGUUUAAGUGAAUCUAGCUGCAGAAAAACAUCACUCAGUGAGAGAACUUGCAAGCAUCAAUAUCAAAUUACUCAAAUUCGCAAGCAAAUCAAAUGAACCAUAUAAUGAAAAUUCUGCUAGAUCCUAUUUGAACUAUUUCUUGAGAAGAACAAUGUUUCAGCAAUUUGUUUAUCUUGACAUUUACCACAUCAUCAAGAGCAAGUCGAAGAAGUGCUGCAUGUCGACGUUUAUCGCCACUGAUACCAUCAAUAUCGGUUAUCCCCUUGAUGAACUCUUCUUGUGUCACAGCAUGCCUGGAGUUGAGGGAUAUGACUGGUUUUGAGGCCUUGAUGAUAUCAUUGUAUCUCUCUGGUGAUACUCCUACUCUCCCAAUUAUUUCUUCCUCUGUUGGUGACCUCUCAAGUUCAAAUGACAACUUUAGUUUGGCCUUCUGGAUCUCUUGCCUAAUCUGCAAUGUCCAGUUAAGAGUGAUUAUUAAACCAGGCUCAGGUUCUUAACAUUCUGAAUUACACAAUUAUUCAAGAAUCUCAGCAAUUUAAUGCAUUUUUUUUUUUCUGAAAACAAAAGGGACGAAGAUCAAAUUCUUGCCCCAAAAAAAACAAGUUUCUUAACCAGAAUUAGUUCAAAUACAGAGAAUCAAGAAGGAAAUCAUAAACAUCAGAUGAAAGUAAAGAGGACCUACAAAAUAAUAGAUUGCAGCAACUAAAAUAACCUUGAGGAUGAUGAUAACUAGUUGAUCACAAAAUUUUAUGAUGAAAAGGGGGAAAGCAGCAGGAAAAACCCCAAAAAUGGCAAACUUAUCUUUUAAUGUUAAAUAGAAAAGCCAAGAUAAUUUUUUUCUCCAAUUUACGUAGUUUGUCCCUGACACUCAUCUAACUAAUGAUUUCCAUAUAUUACACUAAUACAUCAAUCACAACGCCGACAGUGAAAUUAUUACACACAACUCCAAUCAGCUCUAAUAGGCUAUCCUUAGUAUGCAGCAUAGAUUGAAAACCCAAAUACUCAAACACAGAAGUUGCCUAUAAGAAUCGUAGAAUCUCUUUUCUUUUCUUUUUUUCUAAGAGAUGAAGAAUCUUGAAAUUUUCUGUGUUUAUUCUUAGAAAGUAAGAAGGAAGCUCAUACCGACUCGAUUCCAAAGGGAACCUUGGUGAAGCUUGAGAGCGUCAUCGACCGUAUUAUGGAAUGACGGAUCCAGAAGAGGCCAUAUGUGGAUAGACGGAAGCCGCGCUUCUGUUCAAAUCGAUCGAUGGCUGUUAUCAGACCCUUUACACCGGCUUGGCAGAGGUCUUGGAACUUCUGGCCACUUGCGAUCUCUGGAAAGUAUUUGUUGAUGACAAACAACACUAACCGAAGAUUAUGCUGCAAAAGGUCCGAUAGAACAUAAUCGGUCUUCAACUCGUGGCAAUUAAAUAGAUUAACUUAAUUUGAAAAAUAAAAGGAAGCAUCAUGCUGAGAAAAUUAACUUUGGCGUAUGUAUAUUCAAAGCACAUUAAUGAGCAACAAUAGAAAUGUAAACUAUCAAAAAGCUUUAAACUAAAAUUACACAUUGUUCUAGCUAAAAAAGUUAUAUUGAACUAUGUAUGUAAUAAUUUAAACAGCAAAAUAAAUGCGUAUAACUUGAAAAUUGAUAGUUAGAAAUGAACUAGUUACAGAUACCUUUAUUAGCUUGUUUCUUGCGGCCCGACCAACCUCUACAUGUUGUCUCAACCGCGAAACCCUCAUGUUCAUUGCCGCUGCCAUUUCACUGUCAGUCGGCUCCCUGAGCAGAUCUUUGUGCAAGCUCUCCUUCAUCUCGUAAAUCACCUAUGUUUUAACGGUAAAAGAAAAGAUCAAACAGUAAAUAAUUUGCAAAUAAGCAGUUCAAAGUAGUUUUUCAGAUUGCGAGAUUGUCAAAUGAAGCUAUAAACUACUUAAGGGUGAUCUCAUCAUCAACAAAAAGCAACCAUUUUGGUUUUAGUUUUCACCAACACAAUUCUGAAGCCUAGUAGAUGUAUUAAAGCUAUUAUUGUUCAUUUUGCGUAACAUGAUAUCAGAACCAGUAGUACUUAGCACCAUUUGUUCCCGACGACAUUCAUCAUCUAAUCGAUUAUAUUCAUAUCCUUUGCCUCCCCUAUCAAUGCGAACACGUAAGCAGAGAUGUUAACACUGUUCGUGCUUCGUCUCGUACAAUUCUCAACCAAAAAGCAAAGGAGGAAGAUAAAAAAUAAGAACGAGGAGGCUCACCUUCAUCGGCUGCAUCAGCUCGAACAGCCUCGAAUGCUCCGCCGAACCGAGCACCGGCGGUAUCCUCAUCCUCCUCCAGUCCAAGCACGCCAAAUCCAUCGACGCCGAGUUGUCCCUCACCAGCUCCUCCACAUCCCCACCGUGCUCCCUCCUUUCACCCUCCCCCUUCCCCCUCCUCAGCGCCACCCUCUUCUCAAGGCUCAACCUUUUCGCCCUCCUCCGCCUACUCCUCACUACGCCCGCGUCCCCGUCGCCCCCGCCUAAGCGCUCCUCGUCGGAGACCUCGCCGGGGCUCAGCUUGUAGAUGUUCUCGAGCGCCGCGGCCAACUCGUCGUAGUCCAACUCCGGGGCGCAGGGAGGAGCAGGAGCAGGAGCGGCGCGGGGGGGGGCGUUUGCUCUGGUCGGGGCCGGGGAAACCAGCGUCGAACACCUGGUGGGCCGGUUCGAGCCGAGGGCCAGGAAGAAGAUGAGCGGCCGCCGCAGCGGCGGNUGAGCGGCGGGAGGAGGAGGCUGCGGCGCCGAGCGGUGCCGGGGGAGCCGCGGCGGCCGCUCCCAUGCCCCUGCGCGCGCGCGCGAAUCUGGGAGCAGAGGGGAUUGCGGUGGACGGUGGGGAUCGCGUGGCCGCCGCGGGUUCCGACGUUGAGAGCUCGUGUAACAGUAGAGGGGGUGGAACUGUGGAACUGUGGAAGAUCGUAAGCGGGUGGUAAAUGGCUACCACAAGCUCGUCGUGGGGCCCCAAUGGGAUCGGACGGUUGAGAUGUGCUUUUAAAAGGAUGGAUCGAACGGCCGAGGAUUUACACGACGUGGGCAUCGCGGGGAAGAGAGAGGCGGGUGGGGGGAGAGAUAUAUAUUAUAUUUAUAUUUUAGGGGGAGAAAAGGUAACCCGUGGAUGGCGUUGUUGGCACGUGGAUGACUCUGAUUCGUCGACCGAUAUUUCUGGGAUCCACGUGUGGGGCCCGUUACACUUACAGGUGGAUGAUAAAAUUGUGUGUUCUCCGCGCGACGCUUUCUUUAUGGCUUUUUGUGAGGCUGACAUGUGGGGCCUGAGAAUAUAAGAUUGGGUUAUUUAUAUAUACACCCGGCGUAAUCAUCUGUUUACACUCUUUUUAAUAUUAAGUAUAGUUUGUUUAAAAAAUAUUCUACUUUCAGAAGGUUAAUAACACAAUUUUCUAAAUUUUGAUAGAUUCAUCAAUAAUUCAAAAUUUUUGAAAUAUUUUCUUAAGUGUCGUCCACAGCCCAUGGGAGAGGAUAAGAAAAUCACGAGUAGCUUAAUAUCAUUUACACCCCGGAUUUUUUUUUUUUUUUCAGAAAGAGAAAUGCGGCAAAAGAGUGAUAUAAUUAAUGUGGGAGCAAUAAAGAGGAUCUAAAGUACAACCUGUAACAUUCACAAAGGAAUCUAUGAAAUAGACAAAGAAUCAAAUCGAACCAAGUAUUAGAAGUGGAGUAGUACUCUGUACGCAACAGGUAAAUAGACCACGGUGAGAGAUGAGAUUGUACAAGGGUUGAUCCUUAUUCCUUAGGCCACUGUUUGAUUCGGGGUUAAGUAAAAAUUUAUUAUUUUAGGAAUAGAGUUAAAUUCAGGAUUAAGAUAAGGUUAGAGUAAUUUUGUGUUUGGUUGAGAAUUUGGUUUAGUCCAGGUAAAGAUAAAAUAGUGUUUGGUUGGAAUAGGUGGGAUAAAAAGGAUAAUGGAUAAAAUAGUAUUUUAUUUGGUUGGAGUAGUGGGGUGGGGUGGGGUUAGCUAAUCCCACCCAAAUGGGCUAUUCCGGAAUAGCCCAUUUGGGAUGAGGUUAGUUAACCCCACCCUCCAAAUUAGGUGUUUGGAAAUAACUUCGGGGUUAAGGGGUUAUUCCACUCCUUAACCCUGAAUCAAACGCGUGCUUGGAGUGUAAAACAAACCGAGUUGCCACCAGUCCAGUUCGGUCCUGUCCGGUCCGGCCCGGCUCAGCUCCUAACAAGCCUAUGGCCCGACACGACAUUGCUCAUGCCCUAAUGUGCGGUCUGUACUGUCCCGUGCCGAGUCUUGCAGAUCUACGACCCCCGCAUGGCACGACCCAUCUGAGCCGUGCCUAAUGGGCCGACUUAUCUUGGCCCAGUAGAUUUUCCUUUUAUAUUUUGUAUUUUUUGUAAAUAUAAUUAAAGUUAUUAUAUAUAUAUAUAUAUAUAUAUAUAUAUAUAUANAUAUAUAUAUAUAUAUAUAUAUAUAUAUAUAUAUAUAUAUAUAUAUAUAUAUAUUAAAGUUUAAAAUAAAUGGUUAUAUAUUUUACAAGUAAUGUUAAAUAAAUUAAGUGUAAAAUAAAAUUUUUUCUUUCAGUUAACUCUCCGACUUUCGACUUUUGGUAUCCUAAUGGUCUCGUCCAUAUCUGAUUCAUCCUUCAAAACCAUAUCACAUCCUAAUGAUCCAGGAAGCAAUUCUGAUUCAUCCUUAAUUAGGAACCAUAUUACAUCCUAAUAAUCAAUGACGCAAUCCUGGACGUGAGGAAUUACUGAUUUAUGGAUUGGAUUUCACUUGACUUAUCAAUUCUAGUGGCUUUUGCUAUUAUGACCUUCCCAACCACGGAGAACAAGCUAGCUCUCGAUUCAAGUGGCAUUAGAGUGGAUUCGGUGUAAAAGAGAUAGAUCAAUUCAAGCAUGAGAUAAUGACAUUUUUUGGCUUCUCCAUAAUAUUGAAAAAGAAAAAAAUUUUAAAUACCAUCCUUGUAAUUUUGCACUUUCUCACUUUGGUGCUUUAUUAUUUAAAGUGUAUUAAUUUAGUACCCAAUGAUUUUAUCUCUCUUUUUAUUAUUCGUUUUAUUAAUUUUUUUAGUAAAGUUAAAACUAAAGUGUAUUAAAGUGAAUAUUGGAUAAACCUAAAUGGGAUAUAUAAAACUUUUUGUAUAUAAUUUAACGAAAUAUUAACGAAGGGGCUAACGAAAAGUGAAAAAUAAAAUCACAUGACACUAACUUGAUACAUUUUAGACCACAGGAUACUCAAGUGGAAAAAUGUGAAAUUAUAGGAAUAAUAUUUAAAGUUUACUCUUAAAAAAAUGCAAUGCCCUCUCUAUAAGAAGUUUAAGUUGCGCAAAUAUUAAAAAAAUCACUAACUAGAUUGUGAAUUUUGGUAAUUAGAAAUGUAACUAAUCCUUGGCAGCAUGAUUCAUAGAGAAAUAGGCAUAGAAGUAGGGGUGUCAAACGGGCCGGGCGGCUCGCAGGCUGCCCCGCUCCGCACUAGAGCGGACCGAGCCAGGCAUGACACGAGCACUGUAGCAUUCGUGUCGGACUGGGCCGGCCAGUUAAAUCGGGUUGUGCUGCGCCUUGGUCUCACGGUGCGGUGGCCCGGCACGACAUGGGCCUAGGCCGUGCUGAGCCUGAGGGGAUGCCACGGCCCGGCCUGGCACGGCACAGCCAGGCCCGUGUGGGAAGUGCCUCCCGAGCUGGACGCAGGCAAACAACCCAACUCCCAAAGCCCCCUUGGGAGAUCGGCCUAUUGAACUAAAAUGUCCUUCCCAACUGUCAAAAAUUUGACCGUUGGGAGGGUAUUAUGGUCCACAAAAUUUAAAAUUUUAAAAUAAUUUAAAAUUUUAAUAUUUUUAUAAAUGUAUUUCAAAAUUUUAAAUUAUUUUACUUAUAUAUUAUUUUUUUUAAAAAAAUAAUAUUUUUAUUUUUAUUUUUUAAAAAUUUUAAAUAUUUUUAAAUAAAAUUAAUAAAAUAAAAAAAGGCUGGCUCGAAGCCCGGCCCGGCCCGUACAAUCCGGGCCGAAGUGCCGUGCUCGGCUGGGGUCUAAAAACUUUGGCUCGGCACGGCACGGCACGGCACGACCCGACUUUGGGACCGGGCUGUGCCGGACUGGCCUUCGGCCCGUUUUGGGCCGGGUAAAUGUGGGCCGUGUCCCGGCAAGGCUUACAGUACAUCUCUAAGUGCACCAAAUGAAACAUCGUUUUUGAAUCUACAUACAGUAAAAACUGCAAUACAGACUUGCUCCCUUGUGUAAUCGAGUAAUCUUUAACUAGGAUUAAUUUGAUCAUACCAAUUUAUAGGAUAAUAUAAAAAUAAAAAAAUAUCUAUUAAAAUUUUGGAUUAGUUGCAUACAAUUCUGUGUAAAUAUAUCGAAUAGCAAAUAUAUCCUUACAAAGUUCAACUUUUAUUUUUAUCUCUACAAAAAUCUUGCCGUUUUCAAAUAUAUCCCUGCUGUUAGGACCCGUUAGAAAAAAAUAAUUAACUAUGAGAAAAAUACGUAACCAUGGUUAGUGAAUCAGUUAAAUUGAUAUUUUUAUUGUUGGGAAUCCAGUACUCGCCCCGGUACCGGAUCUUGUGAAUCCGCAACCCGCUCUGAUACCGACUGCUGUGGAUUCGGUACCGAUUGUUGGGAUUCCGCAACGGAAGCGUCGAAUCGGGUUUUUACCAUAAACCCGUCUCCUCAGCAGAUGCCGAUACAAUCAUAAAAGAGAAAAAUAUGCAGGUAAAAUAAGAUUCAUUAAAUAAGAGAAGAUUACACCUGACUCCUCUUCUGCACAGAGUAGCUACAACCCGAGCCCUCUCUCUGAAUCUCUCCUACCCUUCUCUCGUCUUCUAUACUCCCAGAAGACAUCUCUUUCAUCCUGUGCAUCCGUGCACAAGGUAUACCAAUGACCCACGGCUACGAAAGCCGCACACGUCCUCUUGCACCCAUGCACUAGGUGCAACCAAAAUCAUGACCAUAUUGGUCAUGCCAUAUGGGUGUGGCUAAUCCAUACCACCACCACCCUUCUCUCUUUUUUUCUCUCUCUGGUACGGCACCCAAGAGGCCUUUUCUCUCUUUCCCGUACUCACCCUCAAAAGCAAACCCAUAAAGAGCUAUUUAUAAGGCUCCACUAAAACGCACCUCAAUCCUAAUAUAUUUAGGAUUUCUACUCCAAUUAAUAUCUAAAUCUAUCUUAAUUAAUCUCUAAUAGAUUUAAAUAUUAAUCCUAAUCUAGUUAGGUUUAUCCUCUAAUUAAUAUUUAAAUCUUAAUUUAUCUGAAACAGAUUUAAAUAUUAAUUCUAAUCCAAAUAGGAUUCAAUUACAAAUCUAACCAAAUCCUAACAUUUAUCUCUUAUAUUAUUAGGUAAAAUACUUUUUUGAGAGGAUAUUUCUGAAUAAUUCUAACGAUUAGGACUUUUAAUUUAGAGGGAUAUAUUUUUAAGGACAAAAAUGUCAUUUUAUUUAAUUACUGUGAAAAAAUAAAUAGUAUUUUAACGGUAAGAAAUCAGAGAGGCAAAUACGAAUAUCACAUUGCAGGAAGGAAAAUAAAAAAUUAAAUUUUAUAAAAAUAUAUUUGUUAUUCAAUAUAUUUAUAAAAAACUAUAUGCAAUUAAUUCUAAUUUUUUAAAAAAGCUUCUAUAUAUAAAUUAUGUAUUUAUUAAUUUAUUGCUGUGUUUGGUACAAAAUUGCUUUCAUCGGCUAGGGCCGCUAUGCUGUCACCAGAGCUUUUUGUUACAUUAUUGAGUGACAAAGAAACUAUUUUGUUUUCAUUCCAAAAUGGUAUUUUUAUUAUUGAUAAUAAAACAUGCAGUGAUAAUUAUUUUGAUCAUUCUAGUAACGUAUUUUGUAAUAAUUACACCAUAUAUACGAACUUAUACUAAUGAUAUUCUCGGUGUAGUUAUUGCACGUACCUGAUGGAUCGUAUGUUGCUCUCUUAAAUUUAAAUUAUAAAGAUUUGAAAAUUGGAAUUUGAAACUUUACAUAUAAAUAAAGUUUUUUAUAAGUAAGUUGGGCUUUAUAUUUAGAUUGGACUAAAAUUUAAAUAAUAAGAAUUUAUAUUUUAUGUAUUUAAUUACUUAUAUAUAUAAAUAUAAAAUUAUAUAAAUUAUAUAAAUAUAAAAUAAAUGUAUCUAGUUGUUAUCGAGCCGAACAUGAACGAGCUGAUACCAGUUCGUGCUCGACUCGUUUAUUAAAUGAGCUGAAAAUUUCAGAUCGUAUUCGGCUCAUGUUACUAAACAAAUAAUUCAAUCUCGUGUUCAUUUAGAAUCGAGCACGAAAUGGCUCGCGAACGAGCUGAAUUGCUACCCCGACUUAAAAAAAAAUGAUUUAUUAAACUAUGUGAUAAAAUUUUAAAAAUAUAAUCGUCAAAAUUAAAAUUUCAUAUAUGCCCGCUUGCAAAAGAUUUAAAAGUUUUUAGGAGUUCUCUCUACUUUUUUUUUCCAAUUUUUUUUUAUUCUAUUUCGUGUAGUAUAAUUGAUGUAGAUACAUCAACAUACGCAAAGCAUGCAACAUAAGUUUUAUCUUUUACAUAGAAAGUAUCUGCGCUGAUUAUUUUACAUAAUUUUCAUUUUUAGUAGACAAAAAUGCGUGUACCCAUUUUAGAUGUUAUGAUCAUGACAAAGAUUAGAGUUCCCCUUCUUUUAGACCAUUUUCUUAAGUAUUGCUCCGAAUUUAAUUAUGAACUCCUCAGAUUUUUUUUUUCUUCUUUUUUGAGAGAUAGGUAGCACGUUAUCCACUUCGUUUAUUUCAUUUAGAAAUAAAUUUAGUUAGAAGAAUGAAUCAACUAUGAUUCAAACUUGAAUCUCGAAUACCAACCAUCAAAUUUUUUGCCACUUGCUCUAUAGAUGGUACGGUAACUCCUGACAACUUGUUGAAACAAACAGUUUGCCAUUUGUUUCUACAUAAAUUACGGAGGAAGCACUAAACACAAACUGCAUAGCUUUACAAUGUGGUUUCCUAACUAUUCUCUUUGAAUAGAUUUAUUUAAAAAAAAAAAAACAAAACUAUCUCUACACUCUAGAUUUAGUGCGCUCUCUUUUACCUACGAUCUAACGAUUUAAAAAUCUCUUUCAAGAUUUUUAUAUUAAUAAAACAAUUGUUGAAAUUAAUGUGAAAUUAUUAAAAUUUGAAUGAGUAGAAUGUAAAAUUUAAACUCUAAUUUUGGAUGUACAAGUAUUUACUAUAAACCAAAAAAAAAAAAAAGAAAAAGAAAAGAAAAGAAAAGUGACCGAUGUACUAACUACUAACUCUUCAAGUACAAAAGUGCAAUUCUUACUUUCUUCUUCUUUGCAAAUAGCCCCAUAUAUAGUUUCUCCUCCUCGCGUCUCAUUUGAGGACGCACGGAGCCAUGAACAGGGCGAAUGCGAAGCUCGGUUGUGCCCUCGCCAUGGUUUUGGGCUCUGCGCUCCUCGUCGCCUUCUCCCACUCCGACGCUUCCGAAGCCGAGAUCGUGAGAUCCGUAGCUGGGAACAAGUUGAAGAGAGGUGCAUGCGCCAUUACCUAUUUACCUUCGUUUAAUUUGUGUUUUUUUUUUUCCUUCUUUUUUUUUUUUUUUUUUUUUUUAGAAAGGGCGAUUCGAUUUUUCUUCUUAAUGUGGUUUAGUUUAUUUUAUGUUGUUGCAUUUUUAUUCUUCAAUGUGAAAAUUUUAAAUGUNUUUUUUUUAGAAAGGGCGAUUCGAUUUUUCUUCUUAAUGUGGUUUAGUUUAUUUUAUGUUGUUGCAUUUUUAUUCUUCAAUGUGAAAAUUUUAAAUGUCAUACUCUAUGCAAAUUAACGAAGUUACAACUUCACUUACCUUACAUUCAUUAUAAAUCUCUAUAACCUAUAUAUAAUAUUGUUGAACCUACAUUAAAAAAGAAUUAAUUUGCUAUACUAUUUUAUAGUAAAUUUUUUUAGAUAAAGAUAGAAAUAAACAUUAUAAAAUAAUUAAGUGUAUUUUUUAAAACUAUAAAAUGAUAGAGUAAAAAUAAGGUGAACUAUUUGCAGGCAAAUUAAUCUUUAAAAGAAGCUUAGACCUGAUUUGGCAUCAUUACCGUUAUAUAUUUUAAAACAAUAAUUAUAUAAAAUUUGAUACACCGGUAAAAACAUUACAGGUUAAUUAUUCCGGCCAAAUAAUAAGUAAUAGCUUUGUAAAAGGGGUAUUAGGCAAUUUUUUUUUUUUUUUUUUUGAGAGAUAAGUAGUAUGCUACCGUUUCGUUUAUUUUGUUUAGAAAUAAAUUUAGCUGGAAAUGUGAAUCAACUAGGAUUCGAAUUUGGGUCUCAGAUAUUAACCACCAAACUCUUUGCCACUUGCUUUAGAGACGACCGAUAGGCAAAUUUUUAUUUAUCUCUCUUUUAACAUGUUCUGCAAUCGUAUGAAACGUGAUGCAGAGCAAUGCGAUCUCUUCGCCGGGGAAUGGCUCCCGAACCCUUUCGGGCCGGCUUACACGAAUGCGAGUUGCAAAUUGAUCGAAUUUACUCGAGAUUGUUUGACAAACGGGCGACCCGAUACAGGUUACCUCUACUGGAGGUGGAAACCAUUUGGUUGUGAAUUACCCAAAUUUGAUGCAGGGAAAUUCUUGGAUUUAAUGCGAAAUAAAGCUUGGGCGUUUAUAGGUGAUUCGCUUCUUCAGAAUCAAAGAGGGUCACUGCUUUGCCUUCUCUCUAAGGUGCUGCAUUAAUUUCUCGUAUAUCCUAUCUUAAAUCUUUAAACUUUAUACUAUAUUUACAUCCUCGCUCGCAUUAUUUAAGAAAAAAAUCAGAUGAUACUAACUAAACUUAUAUAUGCAUCUUUUUUUUUCCCAUCUUUUUGGACGCUAAUGCACAUCAUCAUGCACAAUUUAUAGUGCUAGUUUGUAAUAGGGGAGAGUAUGCAGAGUCUUAUAUGAGAUUGACGUACAUAUUAGUAUUAGUAUUAAUAAUUAAACUUAAAUAUUUAAAAACCGAUUGCUUAGGCCGAAUAAAUUGUUAUUUACUCUAGUAUGGUAGGUUGAUACGUACGCAUUGUUAAUUUUAAUCUGAGUCUCUACUUCCACUUUAAUUUUAAAACUUUUUUCUCAAAUUCUGUGUAGUUUCGUACCUUUUUUUUUCUUCUGCUUAACUAAUAAUUAGUCCAAACCUUGAAACCUUUUACUGUGACCCAACGCUUCACAAGAGUUACUUAGGGCCCGUUUGGAUACCUCUAAAAAUGUAGCAUAGUUAAACUAUACUACGCUAGUAGGAAAAUAAUCCUAUAAAGCGUUUGGAAGAAAAAAAAAAUGACGUAAUUUUUAGAGUAUAGUUAUACUAUACUCCAAAAAAUGGAGUAAACUUACAAUCCACUUUAACCAAAGGAAAAAAAUUUCACCAUUUUGGGCUCCCAAAGAUGUAUCAAUUUUUAAAUUUUAAAUUUCAACAUAAAAUUUUAGAUUUCAAAUUUUAAAAUUUUAAAAUUCAAAUUUAAUUUUGAUUUUAAAUUUUAAAUUUUAAAUUUCAAAUUUCAAAUUUCAAAAACUUCAAAUUUUAAAUUUUAAAUUUCAAAUUUCAAAAACUUCAAAUUUCAAAUUUCAAUUUUUAAUUUUAAAAUUUCAAAUUUCAAAUUUUAAAUUUCAAAAAGUUCAAAUUUUAAAUUUUAAUUUUCAAAUUUCAAAUUUCAACUUUCAACUUUCAAAUUUCAAAUUUCAAAUUUCAAAUUUCAAAAAGUUCAAAAUUCAAAAUUCAAAUUUCAAAAUUCAAAUUUCAAAAUUCAAAUUUCAACUUUCAAAUUUCAAAUUUCAAAAAGUUCAAAUUUCAAAUUUCAAAUUUCAAAUUUUAAUUUUAUUUUUAAUUUUUAAUUUUCAAUCUUCAAAAUUUAAAUUUAAACUUAAAUUUAAAAUUUUAAAUUUAUAAAUAUGUAAAUUUAUAAAUUAUUAAAUUUGAAAUUUAAAAUUUUAAUUAUAGAUUUUUUAAAUUUCAAAAUUUAAAGUUUAAAUGGUAUACUUUAAGUUUUAAAUUUUAAAGUUUCAAAUUUCAAAUUUGAAAUUUCAAAUUCCAAAUUUCAAAUUUCAAAUUUAAAACAUAAAAUCUAAUUUACUUUUUAAAUUUUAAAUUUUAAAUUUUAAUUUUAUAUUUUGAAUUUUUAUGUUUAAUUUUUAAAAUUUUAUUUUUAAAUUUUGAAUUUUGAAUUUUGAAUUUUGAGUUUUGAAUUUUGAAUUAUAAAAUUUUAGAAAUUUAAUUGUUAUAAAUACUGUGGAAUUGUAUGAUAUGUAUCCAAACAGCUUAAAAAUGAGGCUGUGGAAUUUUUUUGUAGUUACAGGAUUCCGUAUUUCAUUUAGACCAAAACCAUAGAAUAAAAAUUUCAUGGAGUUUUUUAACUAUGCAUCCAAACAGGGCCUUAGCCUUUUCUACUAGCUAAUAAUAGACUUUUUUAAAAUACUAGUGGCCCAAUUUGUCUAUUAAAAUUAUAUGAAAAUAUUGAAUAGAAAAGCCUAAUGAACUCCUCGGAGAGUGAGCAAAAUUGCAGGCGAAAAUUUAUUUUGUCAGAACAUGCACGUUCCCUAGGAAUAUAAAAAUUCCAGAUCCAUCAAAUUGUUUUUCCCUAUGCUUUUUGGAACUCUACCCCAUUACCUAAAAUCUUAAUUAGCAUAUAGAUAGGGGCGACCGUGGGCCGGGCCGUGUAAGUCAGGAUCGAGCCGUUGCCGGGCCCAGCACGGCCCAGCAUGCCCGGGCCAGGCAAGGUCAUGCCAUGGGCCGGCUGGGCGCGGCCGAGCACGGCCCUAAAUCCAUCUUCUCUUAUAUGAAAUCUAUGUCUCUUUAUGCGUGCUUAGGUCAUCUUUUUUGUUUGGGCAGGUAACAUGAUUUAUCUGAUCUUCAUUCUGCACAUGAUCAGCGAGCGUUUACUAAUUCUCUUGCAUACAUUGAUCUCCAGGUGGAAGAAGCUGUAGAAAUUUAUCGCGAAGCGUUUGCAUUUACAAUCUGGUACUUUCCUUCUUACAACUUCACCGUCACAGAUAUAUGCGCUCCUUUUCUGCUCAAGGCGGAAAACGAAGCAACGGAUCACACCAUGCUGCACCUCGACGCGCUCGACGCGAAAUGGACUAACAAUUACCAUAAAUACGACUACAUUGUGAUUUCCGGCGGAAUGUGGUUCUGGAGAACAGCCACAUUCCUGGAGAACAAUGCGAUUGUGGGGUGCCACAACUGCGCUGCUGCAGGACAGAACGCGACCGAAUACGGGGGCGACUUCUCGUACCGAAAAGCCCUCCGGUUGGCCUUCAGCUUCAUGCUCAGCUCCGACCACAAGCCGCUCGUUCUCUUCCGGACGUGGAACACGGAACACUAUGAGUUCGGCGGCGACGGCAUGCUGGUCUGCAACCGCACCGUGCCGUACAGAGCCGGAGAGUACGACGGGCGCCCGACGGAUCAUCUAAUGCGGGGUGUGGAGGUCGAGGAGUUCCGCAGGGCCGCCGCGAGGAGCGGGGCCCGGAUUCGGCUCGUCGACACGUUCCGGCUCUCGGUUUUGAGGCCGGACGCGCAUAUGGGACUGUACUGGUUGGUCGACCGCGACCCGGGCGACAAGACUAUGAAUGAUUGCACGCAUUGGUGCUUGCCUGGGGCCAUAGAUACUUGGAAUGAUAUAGCUAUGGAGAUUUUGAUGCGCGAAGGAGAGUUCAGGUAUUCGUCAUGAAUUGUCGAUCUCGUCGUUUGUGUUUUAGAAAAAUGUUUUACCUAAUUUUAUGCGCGCGCCCAAAUGCCGUGAGUUUAACAGUGAUUGCUCUGUUUUUCAAUAAAUAUUAGCUGUGCUGUUGUUUCGAUUUAUAACUGAUACGUUUGAUGAAAAAAAUCUCUCUCCAGGCUCUCUCUCAUGUUUUCUUCUUAGCUAGAAUUUUUUUUAGAAUGAAGCUCCAAAUCAAAUAACAAGGAUUACAAGGAUUUAAAAUCGUAAAAUUUCAAUUCUAUUUGGAAAUGAUUUUCACCGUCCAUCCGAAUUUUCGUUUUAUUUUUAGCGGUCGAUCUCCUAUUAAAGCCCUCUUUAAAAAAUUCCAAACCAUCCUUAAUCUUAGAGUAUAAAAUCAAAUCAAACUUGGGCCGAAUCCAGUUUAACUUAUUCGCCGUGUCUUAUAGUACGAGUACUAAAACAGGAGUUUUGAAACGGGCAAAUAUUGUAUGGGCAUCGUCAUCAGUUUGGGGACGAUGCCGAUGGGCGCCGCGUGGCCUGUCACCCUCCAUUGCUCUCCAUCAUCUUCUCUCUCUCUCUCUCUCUCUCUCUAAAAAAUUCAGCUGGCAAAGUUUUUUUUCUUUUUAUCCCAUCCUACUUCACUACUCCAACCAAACAAAACACUAUUUUAUCCAUUAUGCUUCUUAUUCCACUUACUCCAACCAAAUAUUAUUUUAUUUAUAUCUGGACUAAACCCAAUUCUCAACUAAAUACAAAAUUAUUCUAACCCCAUAUUAAUCCUGAAUUUAACUCUAUUCCUAAAAUAACAGAUUUUUAUUUAAUUCCGAACCAAACGAUGGGUUAGAGUAUAAAAUCAAAUCAAGCUUGGCCCGAAUCUAGUUUAACUUAUUUGUCAUGUUAGUACGAGUACUAAAACAGGAGUUUUGAAAUGGGCAAAUAUUGUAUGGGCAUCGUCAUCAGUUUGGGGACGAUGCCGAUGGGCGCCGCGUGGCCCGUCACCCUCCAUACCUCUCCAUCGCCUUUUUUUUUUUUUUUUUUUUUUUUUUUUUUCUCUCUCUCUCUCUCUUUAAAAAAAAUCAGCCGGCAAAAUUUUUUUCCUUUUUUUUCCCGUUUUCGGCCAUGUGAUGAGCACGCCUGGGCCACGUGGUGCCCAUCGGUAUCGUCCCCAAACAGAUAGUUUAGAGACGAAGCCAAUACAAAUUUGGCCCUUCCGAACUUCAUAAGCUCUGGCAUAUGACAUGUACUGGUGGUACUCACAAAAAAGUAUCAGUACUCCUCCAGCUGACAUCGUCUCCAAACUGAUAGUUUAAAGACGAUGCCCAUAUAACUUUUGUCCUUACAAAACUUUAUAAUUAAGCUCCGGCAUAUGACAUGUACCGGUACUCACAAAAAGUACCAGUACUCCUCCAGCAGCUCAACAAUAAUAAUUUCUGAGGAACUUCAGUCUGAAUGCCGAAACUCAUUGAAGUUUCGAAAUUUGGCAUACACUAACUUUAAAGUCCCGACGUUUUCACGGUGAUAUCGAUCUGCAACAUGGUUUCUCAUAAUCCAACAUUAAUUAGAUACACGUCUUGAAUCCUAGAAAAAUAAUAAUAAAAGUACAAAAAAAAAAGGAGAAUUUUAUGCUAAAUAAUUUGGUCCAAAUACUAUUAAACGGAUAAGUAGGAAACCAAGUGAAAAGCCAUACUUUGAAAUGGUCAGACAUUCUAUCUCUUCUUCGUCUUUUCUCUCUCUAUCUCUUUUCUACUUUAUGGUUCAUGUCCUUUUUGAUGGAGAUGCUGACUCGGUCUUGUAAUAAUUUUUUUUAAAAAAAGAAGCACACAAUAUUCAACUUGAUUGGAGCCCUUAAAAGGAGCAUAGUCCUUGAUGAAAAACGCAUGCAAUGCAUGUACAACCUUAAACACCACCAAGUCAAGUGCCAAUUUAUUUAUUAUUUAUUUAGUUAAAUACCAUCCCCCACUUUUUCAAGCUCCGAGGCCUACUUAUUAUUGUUUGAAAAUGGUGAACAAAAGGAGACAAGAAAAUAAUAAAAUAUAUAAUUCAAAAAAGAACAACUUCAAUCCAGUGUCUUAGAAUGUUUAAUUUUUAGAUAAAUAUUUUAUUUACGAUGUCAAAUUUUAGUUGUUGGUGUAUCCACCCAACUAAGUCGAUAGAAAACGAACCCGAAUUAGUUUUAAAAAUCUUUUUAAAAAGAAAAGAUUUAUAGCUAGCACAGGAGGUAAACAAACAAAAAGACUUAUGAUUUAUAUCCAAGAUUAGUUUAUUCAUAUUUUUAAUUAAAAUUAUUUUUUUUAAAAAAAUAAACAAAAUAAACAAUAUGCUAUAUUUUUGCAAAAACAAAGGGCACUUAGGUAAGUGUGUUUUAAUAUAUAAAUUAUAAUAAUUAUAAUAAUAUGACAAUAAACAUAAAAAAGUGUACGUUUGCCCUUUCCACACGUUUGUAGAAAGUAAUGUGUACCCCUUAAAAGCCUCUCCAACAUGUUUCCGAGAAGCGAGACGGAAGGCAGCAAGGGAACUGUGUGUAAAAUACCAUGGGGGUAAGCCUCAAGUUGUUCUUGGGUAGGGAUGCAAACGGAUCCGGGUUGGUGGAGCUCCUAUCCCGAUUUGCCCCGACGGGGGCAGUAAAUGGUAAAAAAUAAACGCAUUCGGGGCAAAAAUUGGGGUAAAUUUUAUGAUUUGAGACAGAUUCAGGGCAGGAAAAGGGAGAAAUUUUGACAUACCUCAAAUCCGCCCCGAAUCAGUCCCGAAAAUUAUUUAUAUUUUAAAAAAUAUUUUUAAAAAAUUAUGUAUUUACAAAAAAGAUCAAAAUACAAGUAAGUUAGUACUCUCAUUUCUAAUGUAUUUGAAAAUUUUGAAUUUUGUUUUGAAUUGUGAUUGAUAUUUUUGAUUUUUAUAAUUGAUAUGGUUAAAUUAUAUAUAUAAUAUUAUUAAAAAUUAUUAAUUUAUAUUUUAAAAAAUAUUAAUAAUAUUAUAAUUUUAUAAAAAAUAUUAGUUGGCGGGGCGAAUUCGCGGCGCCGGCGGGACGUCAUGAAUUCUGUGCGGCAGACGGGGCGGGAUUUUUGCUAGUCGGGGCGGGAGGUGGGGCAGGGCUCCCGCCCCCAGAUCUGCCCAGUUUGCAUUCCUAUUCUUGGGUGAUUUAGCUAUAUUUACUUUACUAUAAUCUAGUUUCAAAAAUUACAUUAAUUUUUUUGUAGUAUUAUUUUAUUUUACAGCAGAAUCUAUCGUUAAGCAGAAUAAUAAAAUUAUAUUUUUGCAGACCACUGGUGAUACCGUGAUAGAGCAUAAUGCUUUAUUAUUAUUAUUAAAAAUAUAUAACAUUUAUCUGAACUAUCAACUAUUUUGAUUCGGCUGCACGACUUUUGAAAAUUUUGAUGUUACUAUUCAAUCUUUCAAUUUGUUUGAUUUGAGACAGUCAACGACAUCGUGAUUUCAAAUUUUAAGCUAAUUGCUUAUUUUAACAAAUUUAUAAUAAAAAAUUUUUAUAAAAUAUACUAAUUAAACCUGUAAAGAUAAAUAAAGCAUUUAAAUUUUAAAGUUAAAGUACUGCUGAUUGACUUAAAUCAAACAAAUUAAAAUAUUAGAUAGUAAAAUCAAAAUUUUAAAAGGUCGGAUAGCCAAUUCAUAAUGAUUUAUAGUUUAAAUAAAUUUUGCACAUUUUUCACCUUUUUUAUUCUAUAAUAUAUAGCUUACUAUUUUGCAAUUUGUAAAAGCUAUUAUUUAACUACGCCUAUUUAGCCAGUAGAACUUCACGGUUAAACGAAAAUAAAAUUAUAUGGUAACAAUGUAUAACAUUUUUAAACUAUACAGUAAUAAAGUAAAAAAUGUACUAUAUCUUAAGAAAGACAAAUUAAAAUUUACUCUGAAAUAAUAUGUUUAAUGUUAGAUAAUAAUCCACAUGUUGUUUGGUUCCGAAUAAUAACUAGAAUACCAAUAAUCCAAUACAUCCAACGAAAUUCGUGACCGAAAAAAAUUUAAAUUUUAUUAUAUUCGGCAGAAUAGCUGAUCAAAAUAAAUGUAAAUUUUAAUUAUAUUUGGUCAUUGGCGAUUGAUGUGAGGUGUUUUAUUUGGCAGGUAGUAUUGGAAGUGAAAUGAAACAGCUAAGUUCCUUGUAUCUACUGUUCCAAAAAGUUGCUCUAUUAAUUGUCCUUUUCUGAGAAUAAAAUGAUUAAAAAGUAAUACUGAAUCAUCAACUGAACUUAAUAAGGAUAGUUAAUUGACUAAAAAUUUGAUAGUUAGUAUUUGAAAUUUUAAGUUUAAAUUUUAGUUUUUUUUUUACCCUACUAAUUGAAUUUAUUUUUUUUUCAAAAAAGAAAGAAACGGAUAGCUUGCUAUCUGUCUCUUAAAAAUAGAAAAAUAUAUUGAAUACGUGGCUUAACAAUAACAGCAGCAGCAGCAGCAGCAGCAGUGACAACAACAGCACUAGUAAGAACCAUUUAAACUUUGAUCACUUAAGCUAUGUUAAAAUUUUAUAUGUGAGAAUAGUUUUCUAAGGAUCAAUAACAAAUUAGAGAAAGGGAAAGCACUAACAUAGGCAAAGACAAUUAAAAUUUUAUAUUAUUUUUAUUGGUCCUAGGUGACAUGUCCUAUUCUUGAGCUAAUGUAUAGUUUGAUAAUUUUGGCCCACUAGUGAUUUUUAUAAAUACAUCAGAGGCGUAUAAGAAGGUUUUAUUCUUUGCACUUAAAUUUUAGGAAAAACGUCCAAUACUCUCCUUGUGGUUUCACUUUUUCUCACUUUAGUAUAUAUCCUAUGAUUUAAAGUGUAUCAAGUUAUUACCUGUGAUUUUUUACUUUUUCACUUUAGUAUCUUGUGAUUUAAAGUUUAUCAAGUUAGUAUUCUGUGGUUUCGCACUUUAUCACUUUAGUACCCUGUGGUUUAAAAACCAUAUGGUACUAACUUGAUACAAAAAUAAAAUCACAGGGUACUAACUUGAAACAAAAAUAAAACCAUAGAGUACUAACUUGAUACACUUUAAACCACAGAGUACUAAAAUGAUAAAGUGAGAAACUAUAGGGUACUAACUUGAUACAUUUUAAACCAUAGGGUAUUAAAAUAAAAAAGUGCGAAACCACAUAGGGUUUUUUUAAAGUUUUCCCAAAAUUUAAAUUCAUGUUUUUCACUCGCCUCAAAUUGCUUAGCACUUACAGCUUGGAAGUGGUAAUCUGCCAAAAUCAUAAAUCAUAAUAGGAACUCCAAAUAGAUCUAAUACAAACAUACUUGUAAUGAAAAAAAAAAAGAAAAAAGAAAAGGUUAUGAACCCGCCGCUUCCUCUGUUUCAGGAUUGCUUUGAUACCAAUAUAUUAUGACAAAAACGGAAAGAAUCUAGUUCGUCGAGUAUAAAAAUAGUAAAAUUGAAUGGGAGAAGAAAAAUAAAAUAUAUAAAUAUUUAUAUAAUUUGACCACUGACCUACGUCCACAGAUGAAGAUGGAACAGAGACUUUUAUUAUAAUCAAAAUGGUGUAUAAAAUAUGACUUUUUUACAAAUUCCUAAUCUCAAAAUAUACUCCUAUUCUAUUUCAUCUGCCGGCUACCGCACUAAUACAGAAUAAAAAAUAUAUUUAUAAUUGCGGCUAAAUCCUAAUAUAACUAGAAAUACAAAUCCAACGAAAAUUAGCAAUAAUUUUAAUAAGAUUAAAAAUAAUCUGAACUUAACUUAAUAUGAUAAUCAAAAUAAAAUAGGAUUAGAAAAUCUUUCAAUUCUACAAUUUAAAAUAUAUCUAAUAAAAAAUAAAAACAAAAAUAUGAUUAGUUCUUUCUUAAUUGGCAACUCAGAACGGUCCAUUUACACACCCAAAAAUAUAACCAUAAAUUUUACAUACGUUCAUUCAAUUAAGGAUCAUUUGUUUUAAUUAUACGAGUCUUUUUGAAUUAUUUUCUAUAUUAAAAUUUUUAAAAAUUUUCAAAUUCGUGAUUGGAUAGAUGCAAAUUAAGUUUACAAUCUACUUUUUUGAAUAUAAAAGUAGAGAUUCUCUUUAACAAAACGAGUUUCCAUUGAGCCUAGUAGGGCCACGUACGGUCUAAAUGAGACCAAACUUGUGUCCCUCUUUGUCCUCAUUAAUUAAUUAAUUAAAAGAUAAAUUAGUAAACCUUGUCCCAUCGUUUUCUUCUAAACGCGCUUCCACAUUUCAUUUUCAGCCACAAUUUUAAACAUUCUCCAUCUCCUCCCAUUUACAUUUUCUACACUAAUUUAAUUGUCUUUUUUUUUUUUUNUAGUAAACCUUGUCCCAUCGUUUUCUUCUAAACGCGCUUCCACAUUUCAUUUUCAGCCACAAUUUUAAACAUUCUCCAUCUCCUCCCAUUUACAUAUAAUACACUAAUUUAAUUGUUGUGCUUCACGUGUGAUGCUCUUUCUCGUGCACAACCCAUUUCUCUCUCUUUCUCUCUCUCUCUCAAAAACUCUUUUUUAUCGCAGUAAAUUCCACAUAAUAAUAAAAUAAGAACUUAGAAAACUUAUUUUAAUCGUAAAAUAUUUUGAUUUGAUUAUUUGUUUUUUUAAAAAAUUUUAAGUUUGCUAUCCACCUUUCAAUUUAUCUAAUUUAAGUCAAUCAAUGAUAUUUGGACUUUAAAUUUAAGCUAAUUAUUUAUUUUAAUAAUUUUACAGUUGUGAGAAUUGCAUAAAAUAUACUAACUAAAACUGUGAGGAAAAACGAUGCAUUCAAAUUUCAAAAUUAAGGUGCUGUUGACCGACUCAAAUCAAAUAAAUUGAAAGAUUAGAUACCAAAAUUCAAAAUAUUAAACUAUUAGAUAGACAAAUCAAAAUUAUCUAUAAUUCAGGUAAUUAAGUUAUGUAUAUUUUUCUAAAAAAAAUAAUAAAAUCUAUCUUUCCUUUAAAUUUUGCAUGCACACUUCAUCACCCUAGAAUAAUAACAUGAGUUCAGAAACCUAACCCUCAAAAUUGCACUUAUACAUAUCAAUCUCAUGGUCGGCGCUCGAAUUCCCAACCAACAAGUUAUUAAUAAUUUGAAUAUUGAUAACAUCCAAUUAUUUAUUUCCAUUUUUAAGAUGUUAUUUUAAUGUGAAGUUAUUAUUAUGUUAUUAAAUUUUUUACUAUUUCAUAGAAUAAAUAUAACUAACUUAAAAUGCAAUCCUAUGUUAUGUAAGUGUUAAAAAGAAAUUUUUUUAAAAAAACUUUUUCUUCCGUAGGCGCGUUAACUUGUUCUCUCUCUCUCUCUCUCUCUCUCUCUCUCUCUAUACCGCGUAAGGAGAGUUGAAGAGUCUUCUUGGUCAGUUUCGGAGCAUCUUCCACUCUGACCACAAACUUUAACACGUACCACUAAUUCGUGUCCAAUGGCAUGUAUACAACAAAUAUUUUUUUUAAAAAGCGAUAAUUAAUCCGAGAGUUAGAAUUGGUCAAACAAUCGUACAAAAAUUUAUCUCUUGUGCCCGGUUCAUCCGUACAUUUCAUAAACCAUGCCAUUAAUUAAUAGACACGUUAAAACAUGUAUUUCGACAUUCAAAUGAACUACGCUCUUGUCUUUUUCUUAAGAAAAAAAUUAGAUCAUGAAUUUUGGACACAUGUUUCUUGUAUAGCGAACAAUAUUCAUGCAGAUCAUGUUUGUUAAAUUAAACUUUAAUCUAUAAAGCUAUGAAAUAUUAAGAUUUCGUUUGGAAUUGUAGAAUCAACGUGCAUGAUUUCAUACUUCGAAGGAUUCGAGUAAAUUCAAAAAUAUUUCGAAUGUUUUAUUCUUUCAAUGUCAUAAGAUUUAAAUUGUCAUCGAAGAAUUAAGCACUAUUUAUAUUUUUUGAUGACUAUUUUCGUACUAGAGAUUUUAUUUUUGUUUUUGUUUUGUUUUUUUUUGGCGCGCUCUUUGUAUAAAAUUAGAGAGUGUGUGUAUAAUUAGAAAAUGUAAAUUUCAAACUAAGCUUCAUGUGUGGCACAAGAGACGUACGGAUGCGCCCAGCGUAGAAAAUAAUUGCUUAAAUGAUAAGCUCUCUCGCGAUUCGUUAUCAUUGUGUGAAGAAGCGAAAAAUGUAGAGUCAUUUUCCUUACUCCUUAGUCAAUCUCCUCAGUUUGAUUCUACACAAAAGAUUAAUUGUUCGGAAAAGCGCUUCUCUCCACCUCACCCCUAUAAAAAAGCCCCUCCAUUUGCUUACUCCCCACCCAACACAAACUUAAUUCCUAGUAGUAACAUAGCUUUCCCAAAGAAGAGCACAAAAGAGCGCUUCUUCAGUAGAUGUGCUUCUCCAAUUGAUACCAACUAAGUAUUAAGCACGCUAAUUGCUGUAAUUAAUGGAGAACACCUUUUCCCCUCUAAUCGCGGAGCUAACGCAAAUUAAGGAGCUUAUGAUGCAGCUAGAGGCGCAACUGGAUCAGCCGUUUCCGAUUGAGUUGAGCAAGUCCAUGGUGUCGAAAGCGCUUCUCGCCACCGAGAAGUCGAUCUGCAUGGCGAAUAAGUCGAGCUUCUGCUGCCCCAACUGCGGGCCGGAGGGGGUGUCGCCGCCGCACUCCGCUAGCGGCAGCCCCCGGAGUGAGGGCUCCGACCAUGCGUCUAAGUUUCACGAACGAAGGGAAUUCCUGAAGAAAAGGUAACGAAUCAAUCCUUCUAAAUUAAUAAGAAGAAAAGCCGAAAAUAUUAGUGUAUUCUUACAUCGAGAACCGUAAAUUUAUCGGUCUUUUUUAUCGAGUUUGCAAAAGUUAUUAUUUCAUUAGGACCCUUUUGAGAAGCUUUUUAAUUUGUUUGAAAAGUUUUUCUUAAUAGCAAAGUAAAGUUUUGAGUUUCUACCUAUGAGUUUAUUUAUUUAUUUAUUUAUUUUUUCCCUCAAACAUUAUAGGAAGGCACUGCCAACAUGGAGGAGUCAAGUAAAGGUGGGCGCAGAGAGUGGAUUUGAAGCUCCUUUGGAUGAUGGAUAUAGCUGGAGGAAAUAUGGCCAAAAAGAUAUUCUAGGAGCCAAAUAUCCAAGGUUAGUUAUAGUUUACAUAUAUAUAUAUAUAUAUAUCCUACACUACACUCAUAUAAAAAUAAUAAUAAUAAUAAUACACCUCACAAAACAAAGUUAAA